This 77797-nucleotide long non-coding RNA is filed under the name Eucalyptus grandis. Its description in RNAcentral is "long non-coding RNA (EGRA_LNC006160)". Lineage: Eukaryota; Viridiplantae; Streptophyta; Magnoliopsida; Myrtales; Myrtaceae. The record is from RNAcentral.
AUGAUGCCUAUAAAGUUCCGCCCGAAGUUUUGAUGACCGCCACACAAGUACAAAAUGUCACUGAUCCUCUGAGUCUGUUUCGGACCUCGGAGAACUCCACCACUGUCUGGUAUAUAUACUUCCACUUUGUGGAAUUGCAAUUGCAAAAGGGUCAAUUCAGAGAAUUCGCCAUAUAUGUACAAGACGAAUUCGUGGAAACUGUCAUGCUCGAGAACCUAAAGCCAGUGACCGUAGCCUCAUUGCCCAUAAGUGGACAUAAUUUGAACUUGACUAUUAGUGCGACGGCCCGCUCUAGUCUGCCACCGCUCCUCAAUGCCGUCGAGUUUUUCACUGUGGCACAGCUCCCAAAUUCACCGACUUUUCUUGAUGAUUGUAUAUUUAUAUCUAUGCUCCCACUUAAUUUUUUUUUUGUUUCGAUAAUCUUUGAUUUCCUUAUGAUUGUAGCUAUUUAUGUGGUGGUUUAGUUAAUGCCAUGUAUGACGUCAAGAAAACAUAUGGGGUGAUCAGAGCUAGCUGGCAGGGUGAUCCAUGCAUUCCUACGCAGUACACAUGGAGCGGACUGAAUUGUAGCUAUGAUAGUUCUCCAAGAAUCAUCUCAUUGUAAGUCCACGACUACAUAUUUUCUCUGAAAACAUGCUGCAUACGAACCACAAAGUCACAAAAGAUAAGUUUUCUCAACAACAACUAUAGUACAGGUUUGUAAUAUGUCAUGCGACUGAGGAAAUGAUUUCAAUAUCAAGUCACCAUAUGAACGCCUUCCUUAUAGAAAAUGUCAACCGGUGGGAUUUUAUUCUUAUAAAGUUAGCUGAGAAUGUGCAGGAACCUGAGCUCCAGUGGACUGAAAGGACCGAUAGCUACAUCAAUCUCCAAUUUGACAGCAGUUGUAUCCCUGUAUGCAUUAGCAGUUUUUCUUCAUAUUGUUUACUUAAUUUGCAGAGAGAGAAUGGAGAACACUAAGCCCAAAAAAAGCGACUGACUUCUUUGCCACUAGCAUGUUGUUCAUUAUCUACAAUAUCCCAUUUUAUGCAUUUCAACAAGUAUAUGCAUAUGAAGUUUCUUAGUAGUUUUUGGCUUAAUUUCAGGGAUUUAUCGAACAAUUCAUUAACUGGGUCCAUGCCAGACUUUUUAGCUCAAAUGCCGAACUUGAAAGUUCUGUGAGUCACUGAGCUUUUGAUGGAACUAUUAUGUGCGGUUAUCUAGCUUGAGUAAAUGGCCAUCAACUUCUAAUCAUGAAUACUUGCAGGAAUUUAAGUGGAAACAACAUGAAUGGCUCUGUUCCUCAAACUCUGUUGAAGAAGAAGGCAGAUGGAUCGUUGCUAUUAAGGUUCGCUCAUUGCCACACUAUUGUAACUCCGCAUUUAAUCACUCAUUAUUAUCUACACGAACUGCUUCUUCUUUCUACGUUUGUUCUCACUUUGAAGAAUGCAAAAGAUGAAAGUGGUACUCGGUUUUUCAUUUUCUGUUUGAUCAACUUAUGCAUGUAUGACAUAUAUAGAGGGCAGGAUAUCCAUGAAUUCAUGCGCUAAUCUUUCGGCAUUGACAAGUACUGCUGACGUUUUUCGACAGCUUAGAUGGAAAUCCAAAUCUUUGCCAAUCAGACAAUUGUCAGACCAGCAAUGUGCAGCCAAAGAAAAAGGGCAUCUCUGUUGCCCCAAUCAUUGCAUCAGUUGCAGCCAUUCUGGUCUUGGUUUCAUUGGGAGCUCUUGCAGUGUUGUGGAUAAUCAAAAGAAGACAAAUCCAAGGUAACUCUCUUGCGUAUUGCAUGAGCAAGAAAAAUCCAAAGUUCUUACAUGGGAUUUUGUCAGUCCGGGUCAUGUUUUGAACCCCAUACUGGUUAACCGGUCCAAUUGCUCAUGGAAACAAUUGGGCCCAGAAAAAGUGAACAUGAUAAUCAUGCUUCUAUGCACCACUGUUCAAUGUUAAAAAACUGUGCACACGUUCUCUGUUAAUAGUAUCAUAAUUGCAUCAAUGCGUAUCUACAUCUCGGAUAGAUAAAGGCGUGAAUACUUCCUUUGGUUGAGAUAACUAGCUUCGCUCUUUCAAAUUUCAUUUUUCAUGACUCGGUCUAUCCUUAUAAUAAGUCAUUACAUACUUUUUCAAAAAGGUUCUUUUUGUAGUGAAGGCAUGUGAUGUCAAACUGAAAAUCAUGAUCUGCUGCUGUUGAGAUUAUAUAAUUUCCUUUUCAUUUCUCCAGACGUUACUACUAUUACUACAACUACCAACUCUAGCGAAGGAUAUACUGGGACAUUAAAGUUGUCAAAAAAUCGACCUUUUACAUCCACUGAGGUUACAAGAAUUACUGAUAACUUUAGAACUGUAAUUGGAGAGGGAGGAUUUGGGAAAGUCUACUUUGGCAGACUUGAUGAUGGCAUUCAAGUCGCGGUAAAAAUGUUAUCUCGAUCAUCAAAGCAAGGCUACAAGGAAUUUCACGCAGAGGUUUGAGACGUUAGUGUAACUAGAAUCGAUGUUGCAUGUUUUUGGUUUUCUGGAUUUUCAACUAAUAGCAAGCCAUGAUACCUUGAUGUGCAGGCACAACUCUUGAUGGUCGUUCACCACAGAAAUCUAGUUUCACUUAUCGGAUAUUGCGAAGAAUUUGAAAACAUGGCACUGAUUUACGAAUUCAUGUCCAAUGGAAAUGUUCGGCAACAUUUGUCAGGUUUGUCUCAUAUUUCCAUUUACAAAUUCUAAACAGAUAAAACAUCUGUUAGACUAUCCCAAUGUGACAGCAAAGACGUGUGUCCAAAUAUAUUUUAUCUCAACACUGUUCUUUGAUAGUUUAGGCUUUUGCAUUAAUCGGUCAUGUUACAAAUUUAUUAAUAGCAUUAUGGAGAUGAAAUUAACUUUCUCAGCGAAUGAGGACAACAGUGAACAAGCUUUUACAUAUUUCAUGAUUGGAAUACUCCUUAUUUCUCUACUUUUAAGCAGCACACAACCCUAGUGUUUUGAGUUGGAGCGAGAGACUAAAAAUCGCAAUCGAUGCAGCUCAAGGUACAUAAAGUAGAUUGAUGAAAUCUUUGUUCACAUUUCCACAAGUUAAGCUACACAAUACAAUUCAUUAAGUUUUCGUUUUUGUUGGUGGUGCAGGGUUAGAGUACCUGCAUAAUGGCUGUAAACCUCCCGUUGUCCAUAGAGAUUUAAAGACGCCCAAUAUUUUACUAAACGAAAACAUGCAAGCGAAGAUUGCUGAUUUUGGAUUAUCAAAGGCAUUUGUAACAGAGCAUGAUUCUCAUAUUUCGACUCGCCCAGCAGGAACGCCGGGUUAUCUUGAUCCGGAGUAAGUGACUCAAAAUGACAUUUUAUUCGUGCAUGUUUAUGUUGGAAACAUAUGUGUAGGUACUUUCUAAAAGGCAGUUUCGGCUAUUAUUGUACUAAUCAAAGAAACAAUUCCUUUUGAAUUCUUAGGUUUCAUACAUCUGGAAACUUGAGCAAGAAGAGCGAUGUAUACAGUUUUGGUAUAGUUUUAUUCGAGUUAAUCACUGGCCACCCCGCCAUUAUAAGAAGUCCAGAGGGCAGCAUGCACAUACUUCGCUGGGUAACUCCACUCAUAGAAAGAGGGGACAUCCAAAGUGAUGGAUUUAUGAGAUGGGCCUGAGUUGGCCCGUCCGCCCAAGUUGGGCCCAAAAAGCCCGGCCCACGGGAAUAGGGCCCGUGGAGGGGGAAGGUAUAAAAGGGAGGAGAGAGAGAAAAAGUAAUUAGUUGGAAAUAACGUACGCUUUUUCUCCUUACGCUCUCUCUCUCCCAAAACGAAGAACAGUAAGCACACGGCGCACUUUUCUUCCCUUCAAGUCGUCAUCGGAUCGAACAGGAUCAGAAUUUCUUCCUCGAUCUUCAGCAUUGGUGUUUAAUCUGUGGCUAACAAGGUACGCUCGACUCUGUGGUGUGCUUUACGAUCGGUGAUACGUGUAAUUCUCGGGCUUCGUCUUCCGCAUAGAUUUAGGGACUCGAUUUAGUGUCGAAUCCGGCUUUCGGGGAUCAGUAAUUCCCAACAUUGGUAUCAGAGCCCUAGUUCACGUUUUUCCCGAUCAAUUCUGAUGUUUUUGAUUGAUUUUUCGCGAAAUCCCUUCGGCCGUACGGAACCGGGCAAAAAUCCCGACACCCGAGCGUUUUUCGGCCAUUUUUCCGAGAUUUCGUAAGUUAAAAUAAAAUUGUAAUUGCAUAGGAAGAAGCGCGACGUCGAGACGAGUCCGGCGACAUGUUGUGCGUCGCCGGAAAACUCCGCACGCGCCCACACGCGCGGCCACAAGCCGCUGCGCGUGGGCGCCACGCGCCCGAAGCGCUGGCAAUGGCCAGCGCAUGCGCCACACGCGCCGGUGACGAACCGGCACGUGCGCGCCGGCGACCGGCGAAACGGCACGCGCCGGUCCGCGGACCGACGCGUGCUGACGUCCUGUGAUGACGUCACCGUGACGUCAUCCAACGGUCGGUAACCGCCCGGAUGACGUCACCGAUGACGUCAUCGACGAGGACGUUUCGCCGGGCGGUCACCGGCCGGCGGCCCGACCGACGACGACCCGACCCGAACCGCGACGCCCGGCACGCUCACGGCACGUGCCGGGUGACGUCUGCGUGAGGUCAUCCCGCGCACGCGCGCGGCACGUGCGGACGGUUCGCCUGUACCGGCCCGACCGGUCUGUCCGGUCCGACCGGUCCGUUCGGUCCGACCGGUCCGUCCGACGACCGUUGACCUCGGUUGACCGACGACGUUGACUUUGACCGUUGACUUUGACCGUUGACCCGAAAAAAAAAAAAAAAAAAAAAAAAAAAAAAAAAAGGAAAAGAAUGUGUCUCUUUUGCAAUUAAGUCUAUAUGGAUUAUAAUGUGAUCCCUUAUUUGUUCUGCAUUUGUUGCAGGAACAAUGCCUCCCCUGAGGUUGCGCACACCUAUUCGCGCAGUGACCGAUGAACAAAAGGAAAGGCUGUCUAAGUUGAUAGCUGCGCUGACUGAUCAUCGAUGGGAGAGUGGUGACUUAAUUGAUCAUGUCCUUGAAGUCAACGGGAAAAAUUCAACAGGUCAUAUGGAAUGGUCGUCCAAUAUCACAGUCAGAGAUGGUGCGAUUUUUUCAUAAACACUAUUCCACCUGAAUGGCAAGAUGUGUUGAAUCGCAUAUGGGAUGUCAACGGAGCUGCUUCCUAUAAGAAAAUUGUGAUGGAUUUUGUAAAUGAAUAUUAUUGUAUUGUUUCAAGGGAAAAUAUCAAGAAAUUGAACAAAAGAGGAUCUUUCCCAGUUCGUGUGCUGACUUGGUGUAAGUUGUGUUGGCUGAUAUGUAUUAAGUGUGCUUUGUGGACAUAUAAUGUAUUGUUUACUACCUGAUUGUUAUUGAUGUGACAACUGAUAUGUUAGUUGUAUUGAUUGAAAGCAUUAUUGUUUUUAUUAAAUGUUCUAUUAUAUAUUGCUUUCUGUUAUUGCUGAUUGCUGUGGGUAAUUAGCUAUGGGUAGUUUUAGAAGUUUUUGUAGCUUCAUAGAAUUGACUUUGCAUAAGACAAUUAUAUUGAUGAUAGUUUUAAGUUAGGAUUUUGGAGGAUGAUUGGAAACAUAGUGACCUUUUGAUUCUGAAACCUUACUUGAAAUUAUUUAUUAAUAUAAUGGGUCUAUGUAAAAGUGGAUGCAUAAAUGAUAGGCAUUAAUAAUUCGUGCAUGUAUGUCUGAUGUGCUCAGAUCGAUAUUUUCAGCAACUAAGAACGUUAUUGCUGAUAUGAACGGCAACAAUUGUGAAAUAUUGAAUAUGAAGAUUCAAUAUGUGCUGGAAAAGCAAGAAGCAUUAGAAGCUCUUGACCAUAUUAUGGAAGAUCUAGAGGAUGCUGUGCGCCACCUUGAGCUAGUAGAGGACUGGCUAUCGGCAUUUGAGCCGAAAAUAAACAUAGGCUAUGCUGGUUCUAGCUCAGAAAGGGCUUUGAGCUCUAAGCGCAAACGUAUUGAUUCGUUCAAUAUGUGGGAAAGCAAAGGAUCAAGUCCUUAUUGCAAGAGAUCAAGAGUUAACCAACACAAGAGAGGAAAACGUCCUCAAGUGAAGAAAAUGUCAAGGGUGAGGUGUUAUAAUUGUGACAAGAAUGUCACUAUGCUCGCAAUUGUUGUGAGCUGAAAAAGGUAAACACCUCUUGUACAUUUGAGAACUUUGAUUAUGUGUCAAGUUCUGCAUUAUUAGCUGAAUCCAAUCCUUUGUGGACUGUAGAUUCAUGAGCAACAGAUGAUGUAGCGAAGGAUAAAGGAUCCUUCGUAGAAUUCCGACGAUACCAACUGGAACUAAGUGGAUCUAUAUGGGAAACAGCUCCAGAGCUGAAAUUAAAGGGAUUGGCACCUGCCAAUUGAACAUGCGUGGUGGACGCAACUUGUUCCUACAUGAUGUUCUAUAUGCUCCGGAGAUUCGUCGAAAUUUAAGUGUCUGUUUUGAUGCAUUGGUUAAGCUUGGUUUUUAGUAUGAACUUCCAUAAUAGAUGUGUAGAUUUGUAUUUGGAUACAAACUACUAUGAUUUUUUGGUCACUUUCUGGAUGGUUUUAUUGUACUAAAUGUUGACUGUGGUGAUGUCAAUAUGUUAUUCCCUUGUUUCACGUCUUCCACUUUAUAUGAUAAUGAUGUGAAUAUGGUGGCAUGCUAGACUUGGUCAUAUGGGCUAACAACAUAUGAAAAGACUAGCCAAAGAGGGCUUGUUGGGCAAUAUUGAAAAAGUCGAUUUGCUUAUAUGUAAGCAUUGCCUAGAAGGGAAAACGACAAGGAAACCAUUUGGAAAAGGUAAAAGAGCUGAAUUUCCUCUGCAUUUAAUCUAUUCUGAUGUCUGUGGUUCAAUGAAUAUGAGAGGAAGGUAAAGGGCUGUUUGUUUCAUCACUUUUAUAGAUGAUUCUACUUGAUUUGGAUAUGUCUAUUUGAUUUCUCAUAAAUCUGAAGCAUAAGUUGUUUCAAAAAGUUUAUGAACCUGGUAGAGAAUCAAUUAGACAAGAAAAUAAAAGUAUUGAGAUCCGAUCGAGGUCAAGAAUAUUUAUCUGAUGAGUUCAGAAAAUUAUGUGAUGAAAAAGGAAUAGAAAGACAGUUGUCUAUUCCAUAUACUCCUCAACAAAAUGGUGUUGCGGAGAGAAGAAACAGAACCCUACUGGAAAUGGUUAGGUCCAUGAUGGUGUAUGCUAACUUACAUAUCACUUCUUGGAGUGAUGCGUUGUUAACUGCUGCCUAAAUACUUAACCGGGUGCCUUCUAAAUCAGUUAGUUCCACUCCAUAUGAGUUAUGGAUAGGUAGAAAACCAGACUUAGGUUUUCUUAAGUCAUGGGGUUGUGCUGCCUAUAAUGAAUCCUCUCACAAAUUUGGGAAAUAUGGUCCCAAAUGAAAGAAUAGUAUUUUUAUGAGAUACUCCGAACACUCGAAAGGGUAUGUGUUCGUAGGUGAGUAGGAAAGUGGGAGUAUAACUGAAUUUGAAUCACGGGAUGUCAUAUCCUUAGUGGAUGAAUUUUCUAAGAGGGGCAAAAUAGGGAAAAUUACUCCCUAUUUGAAACCUUGGAUUAAGAUAAUGAUGUCAGUGGAGUUUGUCCAAGUGGGAGUAAUAUGAGAUGUAAUGAAUUGAAUUCAACUCAUUCUCAAUUGCAACCACCUGAAUGUGACGACAUCAUCAUUACCUAAUCCAAGUGGGAGCAUGAUGGAGAAUGAUGUGCUAAGUGUACAAUCUUCCAUACGGUGAACAAGUCGCCAAAGUAUUCCCCGUCGACGUUUUGACAUUGAAGGGGAAACUUUUAUGGUUGCUCCACAAGAUGAGGAUGAGCCAAGAAAUAUUAAUGAGGCUCUAAAUUGCCCUAAUAAGGAAAUAUGGAUUUAUGCAAUGAAAGAGGAAAUGGAGUCAAUGAAAUCAAACCAAGUCUGGGAACUGGUUGAUCUUCCAAAAGGACACAAAGCUAUUGGGAACAAGUGGGUUCUCAAAAUAAAGCGAAAGGCUGAUGGCUCGAUAGAAAGGCACAAGGCUCACCUUGUGGCGAAGGGGUAUAAUCAACAGGAAGAUAUUGAUUAUGAAGAUACAUUUUCUCCUGUAUUGAGAUUUACCUCGAUUCGUAUAAUUCUGGCAAUAGUGGCUAGUCUGGAUCUUGAGUUACAUCAAAUGGAUGUAAAGACUGAUUUCCUCAAUGGAGAAUUAGAGGUAUAAAUAAAUAUGGAACAACCUGUCGGUUUCAUAGUGAAAGGCCAAGAAGAAAAGGUAUGUCGACUUUGGGGGUCGAUAUAUGGCCUUAAGCAGUCGUCAAGACAAGGAUAUAUACGUUUUCAUAAUGCCAUAAUGGCAUAUGACUUUACAAUGAUAGAUGAGGAUCAUUGUGUAUAUAUCAAAAGAUCCAAGGAUCAAUUUGUGAUCAUAUCAUUAUAUGUUGAUGAUAUACUAAUUGCCGGAAGCAAUAUGGAGCUAGUCAAUACUGUCAAAAGUUGGUUGUCUUCCAAAUUUUGAAUUGAAUGAUAUGGGAUUGUAAACCCAUUGACGCUCCUAUUGCAAAAGGUGAAGGAUUGAGCCAUAGACUGUGUCCAAGGACUCCACAAGAGAAGGAACAAAUGAAACAUGUUCCUUAUGCUAGUGCUGUUAGAAGCUUGUUGUACGCUAUGAUGUGUACAAGACCUGACAUAUGUUAUGCAGUUGGAAUGGUGAGUAGAUACCAAUCCAACCCAGGUCAAGCACGAUGGAAAGCCAUUAAAAUGAAUACUAAGGUAUCUAAAGGGAACUGCUGAUUAUAUGCUGAGUCAUUGAGGAAAGGAUCUGCGACUCUAAGGCUAUUAUGAUGCUGAUUGAGAAGGAGAUUUAGAUGAAAGGAAAUCUACCUCUGGAUUUGUUCUCUUACCGAAUAAUGGCACCAUAUGUUGGAGCAGUAAGAAACAAAAGUGUAUAGCCUUGUUCACGAUGGAAACUGAGAUCGUGGCAUUACCAGCAGCAGUAUAAGAAGAUAUUUGGCUUAAGAGAUUAUUGGAUCAUUUAGGUGUUAUUGGAAGUGCUGCAGAUUUGUUAUUAGUUAAACUAUGAUAAUCAAGCAGCAAAAGUGUACACUAAAGAUCCAAAUAUCAUGGCAAGACCAAACAUAUAGAUACCAAGUAUAAUUUUGUCAAGGAUAUGGUUGCACGAAAGGAUGUGAACUUAGAGUACAUACUACGCAUAGAAUGGUUGCAGAUCCUAUAACAAAGCCAAUACCUAGAGAUGUGCUUUGUGGCCAUGUGAAAUCUCUAGGACUGCGUAGAGACUGAUGUACUAAAUAUUGUAAUUUCCCUAAGUGUUCACAAUUUGAUGAAUUUGUGUUUUCAUUAUUAAUGCCUAUGAAUCUUUGUUUGAUCUUUAUGCAUCUUAAUGCUUAGUGCAUUACUUUAAGUUGAGAAGUAUGUCGGACAGAUAUAAGAUUAGCCCACUCACACGGGUAAUCGCCUCUAUUUACUGUGUGAUAAAUAGAGAUGAGACUGUUUUUAAGCUUAUUAUCUAGGUGAUAAUCGAGAGCUCAAGCUUAAAACACGUAUGUCGCCUUAACUGAGUGUUAAGAUGAGGACAUAAUACUUACUAUGUCCGAAAGUAAAAAUAUCCCACAUGUUUUACUUUAUCUGUCUAAGAUGCCAGAUGUGAGUUCUGAUGAAUUUUGUAAAUGAGUAGAUACGUGAACUCAAGUUAGACAUUGGGUAUGUCUGAACUAUCAUCUGUACGGUAUUGAAAGGUGUAGACAUACGCUCCAUGGGAAAGGAGUUGAUACCGUAAUACGUAUUUCAUACUACGUAUGCAUGAGACGACCAAUAAGAGUGGCAAAAGUUUGAUCUCAACUUUUUAUGUCAUGUGAGACUCUUGAGGAAAAGAGUUCCUCAAUUUUUUUGCCCCCUCAUGACUCUUACUUAUUCUCAAGAUUUCUAUUUAGUGUUUGCUAUCUUAGGAUGUUACCAAUGGUCAUGAGUUUGAUUCGAUCUAAUGGGGCAUUUCUAGAAAAGCAAGUUGAACUGAAAUUGAGAGUUUGAAGGGAAGAGGAAGAUCGAUUUUGGAGAAUCACAUUGUAGUUUUGUAUUCACCGGUUAACCAAUUAUGACUGUCUUUGGGAUAAUCAUAAUUGUGAAUACAAUAUAUAUAUAUAUAUAUAUAUAUCAUUGUUUAAAAGAGAUCAAGAGAGAUAUAAAUGUGAUCGAUCGAUCUAGGGUACUGCAUACUAAAUCUACUCGGAGUGUGACGCUCAUUAUGAGCUGCUAUAUAUUCCUAACAGAUGUAUGGCAACGAGCUCUCAAAGUAUGCUGGUCGCACGGAUUAUUCACUGGUAUGAAUGUUGAAGAGAGGAAAAGAGAAUUCUGUUCGGCCCACCAUGUUAAGAGAAAGUCUAUGAUGGAUUUUUCUAUGAUGAGGCUGAGUAGGGCCUGUCCGCCCAUGUUGGUUUUGUACCACCAUGUGCGAGUGGGAGAUGAUGGAUUUAUGAGAUGGGCCUGAGUUGGCCCGUCCGCCCAAGUUGGGCCCAAAAAGCCCGGCCCACGGGAAUAGGGCCCGUGGAGGGGGAAGGUAUAAAAGGGAGGAGAGAGAGAGAAAAAGUAAUUAGUUGGAAAUAACGUACGCUUUUUCUCCUUACGCUCUCUCUCUCCCAAAACGAAGAACAGUAAGCACACGGCGCACUUUUCUUCCCUUCAAGUCGUCAUCGGAUCGAACAGGAUCAGAAUUUCUUCCUCGAUCUUCAGCAUUGGUGUUUAAUCUGUGGCUAACAAGGUACGCUCGACUCUGUGGUGUGCUUUACGAUCGGUGAUACGUGUAAUUCUCGGGCUUCGUCUUCCGCAUAGAUUUAGGGACUCGAUUUAGUGUCGAAUCCGGCUUUCGGGGAUCAGUAAUUCCCAACACAAAGCAUUGUCGACCCGAGGGUUAAAUGGGCCAAUUCACAUCGGUUCUGCAUGGAAAGCGGUUGAAAUAGCCAUGUCGUGUGUNNNNNNNNNNNNNNNNNNNNNNNNNNNNNNNNNNNNNNNNNNNNNNNNNNNNNNNNNNNNNNNNNNNNNNNNNNNNNNNNNNNNNNNNNNNNNNNNNNNNNNNNNNNNNNNNNNNNNNNNNNNNNNNNNNNNNNNNNNNNNNNNNNNNNNNNNNNNNNCACCAAAUGCUCGUUAACUGCACUUGGUAUGUAAGGGUUAUCACGUUCAGCGUUCUUGUGUAAGUUGUUGAUUGUUGGGUCGUAUAGAUUGAAAACUUCUGUACAAAGUCUGAGCUUGUGACUUUAAAUUGUCAUAUUGUUGUAUGUUGGGGUUGUUGCUUUUCUACCUUAGAAUUAUAAUGAAUGAAUGUCGAGUUCAAUUCACUUUGCCCAUCUUUAUAAGCUUACAAACCGUGCAGUUAUUCAGAUGUUGAAAGGCAGCCUUGCUCAGUUAUCCAUGUGAACCCCUGUACAAUGAAAUAAAGGAACUAUGUAUUUCUUUCAUUGUCAAACUAUUUGUAUUACAGACCGAAGUCAUCGUUUGACGAUCUUUGAGAACCACGACCACCUAAGUUCUGGGUUUCGCUCGAACAUCCAUAGAAACAGGUCGAUCGUUUAAGGUUCAUGUUUCAUCUUCUGUCGAUCUUGAGAGUCGUAAAUCGAUUCUUGAAAACUUCUCGGUGCUAAGAAAUUUCAGCAAGAUGUCUGUCGACAUCAGUUGCUAGCAACUAAGUACGCGAGUGUCGACUUAAUCCAACAAUCUGUUCCCUUAGCUGAUUAAGUCAGAAAUCAAUCUAUCGGUAGCGACUUGCCAUUUAUGGUGCACAGGCUUUAAACUUGUAGAAUAAUUGAAGAAACUUUGCAGUUCUAUUUCAUGGGACAUGUCUGAGUCAAGGUCAUGACAAUUACUUGCCAUAAGCGUUAUCUUCACAAAAAAGUUUGCAAUCAAUCUGACGAGGACUCAAAUUGACCAAUAUCGACUAAUGCAAAUUGCACCAAAUUUUGCUGGUCAAUAUUAGCACAAGUAAUUAUACCAAUGAUCACACUUGUAUUUAAGUGUUUGCCAUUAUCAUAAGAAAAACAGGGAAAAAAAAUUGACCAAGACAUUAGAAUUUAUAAACGUGAAUAUUGAUGAUGUCAACCCCAAUAUAUAUAUUGAGUAAACGGUUUUUGUUUACGAUAUCACAUAAUUUUAGUAUAUAAUCCAUAAGUUUUGGACUGAUACAUCUAUAAAUUAUAGGGACACAUACUAUUCUAUGGGGUUAACUGUCCAAAAAAGUCUUAAACCUAUUGUUCAUCGGCCCAUUUAAUCCUAAACCUUUCAAUUAUGCUAAUUUCGACAAUUUGUCGAUUUAGUCUUAAACCUUUUGAUUGUCUCAAUUUGGUCCUAAACCUUUUUAAAAAUUUUUAGUUUAGUCAUAAAUUGAUUAUUUGGAUAAUUGGCUAGAAUGACUAAAUUGACAAAUUAUUAAAAGGUUUAGGACUCAAUUAACAAAAUCAUAAAAUUGUUAAGGAUUAAAAUGGUGCAAUUGAAAAGUUUAGGACUAAAUUGGCGAAUCGUCAUAAGAUUUAUGAUUGAAUUGAUAUAAUUGAAAGGCUUAUAACUGAAUUAAUUACCAUAUAAUAGGUUUACAACUUUCUGGACAAUUUUCCCCUAUUCUACGUAUAUUAAGACCCCCAAAUCGAACCCACAAAGUUAGAAUUCAUUCUAAUUCAUAAAUAUUGGUGUGUGGAUUAAUCACACGACACGAGUUAUGCUCAAUCUCAUAUACUAUCAAUGGCAUCUUUCUGUAUUUGGGCUCAAUUUGUAUCUUAGGAACGAUGGUAAACAUAAUUGAGAUAUCUCAUGAUGCCGAAAUUUGCUUACGUGCGAUGGACUUUUCUGUUUAAAAACAAAAUGAAUCUGACGUAUGAAAGUGUAUUCUCAGCGUUGGUCAAAUAAUGGAAGCUUAGAAACAUUNNNNNNNNNNNNNNNNNNNNNNNNNNNNNNNNNNNNNNNNNNNNNNNNNNNNNNNNNNNNNNNNNNNNNNNNNNNNNNNNNNNNNNNNNNNNNNNNNNNNCCCUCCUCCAGCCGGUCGCUGAGUCCAGCGACCGGCUGGAGGAGGGGAGGGAAAAAAUAAAAAUAAAAAAUAAAAAAAUAUUAUUAAAAUUUAUCCAUGUCAACACUAAUCAGGCCACGUCAACUGGCCAACGUCCAGUCAACAAAAUCUGGCUAAAAUUGGCCGGAAAUGACUGAAUUGGCACUAAGUAAAAAUGUUUAAGACUAAAUUGGCACCAAAAAAAGGUUUAAGACUAGAUUGGCACAAAUACAAAAGCUUUAAGACUUUUUAAGUACUUUUCCCAAACAUUGGCAAUGUGGCUUAAUCGAUCAAUUCUAAGGCAUGGUCUAUUGCCUUACUAAUUAUGUGAUCAUAUGCCUGUAUAUACAUUUAAGUGUCAAUUAUCACCCAUGCAAUAAAUUUCUCUGAAGAAAAAUAUAAGUUACGUUUAAUUUUGGAAAAUGAAGGUGCAUGAGGAUGAGCCAACGUCUUAGUGUUGGAUUACAUUGUACCCUCCGGACGUUUGAAGCAUGGACGAUUUGAUCUAAUUGAUGUGAAACUUUCUUCUUUGAAGAUAACAUCUAACCACACGUUAAUUAGAUGUUUGAUCGACACAAGUUUAUAUUAAAUAUUCAAUUUAUAAUUAGUGAAUUUGAUCGAUCAACAUAAGAUAAUUUUUAUCAGCGUAAAUUUCAAACAACUCUCAUUGGACGUAAUUUGCAAAUACGAUAACUUAACUUUAUAUUAGCCAUUUCAAACCUCCCGGAAUUCAUUUUAUAGGCGGUCUCAAUUUUGCACCAAAUAUUUGGACAAAGCGCUCUACAUGUUUUUUUAAGGACAUUAACUCCUUUUCGAUUCAAGUUAACCAAAAGCCUGUUGAAUUACUCUUUUGUCCAAUUAGUUCUUAGAAAAAAAAGCUAGGUAAAGUUAUUUAUCGUUCCUAAUUACCAUGGAUAAAAUAUUAACACCUCUAAUAAAUUUGAGUUUGCAUUUAAUGCAAUACUAAAGUAAUAUUUAGUUUUUGGGUGUACCAAAAAAGACAUGAAAAUUAGUCAAAUUAAUUAAAAUAUAGUACCAACUGAACCUGAACUUUUUAAUAGUAGACCUUUUGGUCAAGAGAAGAGGAUAAGCUCCAUACAUGCUGCUAUCGCAAGUUGGUUGGAUGAAAUAUUAUGUUAUUGAUGUAUGUUACUCCUUACGCACACGCAUGGCCUAUUCUAACAAAAACAACUUCAUAUAUAUAUAUAUAUAUAUAUAUAUAUAUAUAUAUGUGUGUGUGUGUGUGUGUAUUCUCUCCUUCAUCAAUUGACCCAAACAAAAUUGACACAAUCUUAAAUGUCCUUUUCAUGUUUCAUCCUCACAUUCUUUUAAUUUUUCUCAAAAACUCUGUAGCUUUAUAUUCUUGAGAUAUUUGUGGAUAUUGGCAAUCUUUUAGUGCUGUAUAAAAUAAGCUUAGAAACAUUCGUGCUCCUAUCAGCAUCCGCAAGGAUACCUAAGUAAUGUGACAUAAUCAUUACAAGGUCAAUCGCAUGUAUAAGUCAAUGGAUGUGCAAGAUAGCGAACCGAGUCUCUUUGUUAACUCUCUAUAUCAAUGGCUUUACCUAGGCUUCAUGUCGCAAUGUACUUAGAAAUCUCUCUCUCUCUCUCUCUCUCUCAGAGGAAGACAAAGCUGGCAAAAUCGUACUUGUGAAAGAACAAUGAAGACUCGAUGUGUGUCAUUUCUUUGUCUAGCUCUCGGACUUUAUGUUCAAGGACAAGACUAACCCGGCUCUCUCUCUCUCUCUCUCUCUCUCUCUCUCUUGUAUAUCAUUUGGUUUCAAGAAAUUAAUGUAAACUAGAGUGGCUUGCCUCAACCAAAUCUUGUACGGGAAGCAAUUGUAUAUUCGUAUCAUCAGUUUUUCCAAUAAGCAAUACAAUUUUAUCUAAUAUGCACGGAACAUAUUGUGCUAAUUUUCCUUUCACAUACAAUUCUAAAUAAUAUCAAUAUUUUAUCUCCAGUGUUUUUAUUCUAUUUGUCAUUUAACAUUCAAGAUAAAGUCAUUAAACUAAACAAAGGCUGAUAUUAUAAGUUUUUUACCUUGAAAAAUUCAAUUAAUUACUUCAUACCAAAUAAAUCAGACAUGUCACAUGUAAAGCGGCCUUCUUGCUUCUCAUUUAACUUAUAGUCCCCCACCUAGUUUAAAGAGAGUAAUUCACCAUUUUAUAAAGUUUCGCACUUAUUGCAAAAUCUCUUGAGAGGUUUAUCUAUAAAUAAAAUUAGUUUCGAAGAACAUUGUUCUCGAGAAAAACUCCUCAAUUAUUUCUUCUUCUUCUUCUUUUGGGUUAUUUUUAACAAUAGGCUUCAUAAACAUCGAUUGUGGCAAACCGAAUGAUUACCACAAUAAUGUUCUCAACAUAAUCUAUGAGGUAGAUACCAGAUUUGUAGACUCCAGACAGGUGAUGCAAGUCUCCAAUAAUCUCAUCCACAGCAACAUGCAACAAUUGACGAACUUGAGAAGCUUUCCUAAUGGUACUAGGAAUUGCUAUCCUCUUCAACCAGAGCAAGGCAAGAACGAAAAAUACUUGAUUAGGGGAACCUUUUUCUACGGGAAUAACAAUAGUAAAGGAAUGGCCCUAGUGUUCGAUUUGCACGUGGACACAAACUAUUGGGCCACGGUGGACUCACCGAACUACACAUGGAGCGAAAUCAUUUAUGUUGCCCCAAGAGAUUACAUACAAGUAUGCCUAGUGAAUAAGGGUACAGGAAAACCUUUCAUUUCAGCCGUAGAAGUUGCGACUUUUGGACAGCACAACUUACCAUAUUGAUUCGGGUGCUCUCACAACCAAAUGGCGAGAGAAUAUUGGAUCCACCGUCACAUAUAGAUGAUCUUUUGUUUUCUUAUUCCAAUAACAAUAUCUGAAACUUCAUUUUCUUAAUAUAUAUUCUAUAAUGAAUCGACUUGAAAUGCACAUGUCGAAUUUCUGAAAAGGAAACUCGGAGAGUGAAUUUAUACAUGGAGUCGCCUUCUCACUAAUUAGUUGGUCACUUUGUCUUUCAAAUAGGCACCCGCAAGAUGACUAUGAUCGCAUUUGGGAUGCCCAAGAGUAUGAUGCUUUCACAUCGAUUACCUCCGCCACGGUCAUCGACCUAACGAGCUGCAACGAUGCUUAUGUUGUUCCAGCCGAAGUGUUGAUGUCCGCACAAAAAUAAAACAAAGUCCGGUUUUUCAUGUACAUUUAUUGGUCGUCCAAUCCCGGCGAAACGUGGUACAUCGUCUUACACUUCGCCGAGAUCGAAGUUCUUCGACCGGGCCAAGUGAGGGAUUUCACUGUGUCCAUGGAAGGGAACUUGACCGCCAUGCUCAGGCCACAGUACUCGACCCCGGUGACUGUUGUUUCGCAGCCCAUCACCGGUCAAACCGAGAUCAACUUCACUCGAGCCUUCACGUCCCAAUCCACCCUCCUGCCAAUGAUCAACGCCCUCGAGAUUUUCAACAUUAAUGAUCUACCGAUCUCUCAGACGGCACUCAACGAUGAUAAUUUUAUGCAUGCCUUGAUCCAGUUUUCAUGCGACACAUACAUUUUUUCCAUCUGUAUGAUUCAUCUAUAUUGGUUAAUAAUUUCGUUCCAAUUGGAAAAAUCGCAGUCAACGUGACUGUCGACAUAAAGAAAACAUAUGCAAUAGUACGAGAUAGCUGGCAAGGCAAUCCAUGCACUUGACAAGAUUAUUUGUGGAAGGGAUUGAGUUGCAAUUACGGUAGUCCCCUGAGGAUCAUCUCAUUGUAGGUGCAACUAUUUAAGUAAUUAUUGUCAUUUCGUUUGACCAAACUUGAAUCUUGAUGCAACCGGUCAAUCUUUGUUUCCGUAUUGAUUGAGAUCUCUUUUAACAAAUAAAAAAAAUUUGGUAAUGAAAGUGGCAUUUGUAAAGGGGGGUGUAUCCGAUUCCUUCCCCAAUCUCACCGAUUUGGCCAUCUUGUAAGUUUGAAUAUCUCCUAAUAUAUCUCCCAAUUUAUGCAAAAUAGGAUUUUUGAUCUUUUAUCAUCUAUAGUAUUCAAGCUAUACACACUUUCAAGAGCACAGAAAAGAGUAUAGAUACACGUACACAAGAAAAAGAACACUUUUUGAUAUGUAGAAGCUACCUCUUUGUGAACCGAAAAUACUACUAACAUUGGACAUAAUAAAAAUUCAGUGAAUAAAUAUCCAUUCGCAUACAAUCACCUACACAUAUAUUCUCUCAGGAGGGACGAUUCGACAAACAUUAUUUGCAUCUGCAAAGCCAGAUCAAAUUACCUAGUCACUCGUCUACUAAUUCAGAAUGCCAUCUCUUUUGUUUAGGGAUUUAUCAAACAGUGGUUUGAGCGGUCUGAUACCGACAACUUUUGCCCAACUGCCAAGCCUGCAAACGCUGUAAGUUACCAAGACUUGGUUUAGUAUGUUGCUGUAGGGGUUUCAUGAAUCAUGUAUAAGAAAAAUUAACGAAAUGAACGCAGCGGAAACAAAGAUAUAUUUUACACAUGAUUCUCAUAAGGCGUUGUUCGUGCGUUUUAAUAAAAAAAUCUGAAUAUAAUAGGGAGUUAAACAAAAUACCUCUCGAAGCGCGCUUUGAAAUGAGUCGAUUCGGAUGUUCUACAGUUCGAGUCCCACAAACGUCGGACCUCUAGUUCAGACAUACCAACAACGAACGUCGAACAUAGAGAGAACUUUCGGAUGUUCACCACUACGAUCGUGCUAGCAAUCACGUGGAAACAAUCCGUCGUAUUCUUGAUGUAUAGUAGUCACAGCCUGAACGAGAUAACACUCUUCUUUCUUGCGCCUCAAAGACACAACAACACGCACACACUUUGCUAUCUUUUUCAGCAAAGCAUCUUCUCUCUUAAAAACUAGCGCACGCCCACAUUUCUCUGUAUUUCAACCCUUUGAAGUGUCACACCAAAAACCAACUCUUUAAAAUAUAUAAACAGAUCAGCAACGGUUCCUGAUCGAUGGACGAUCAGCAACCGUUGCUGAUCGUCCCCACUCAUGCACGAUUUUGUGGAUGAUGGUCAGCGGUUGCUGACCAUCCAAGGUUCAUGCAUGUGCUUCGUGCACAUGCAUGAAGCUUUAUAUAUAUUAUUUUAUUAUUUAUUAUUAAAAGGUAUUAAUUAAUUAAUUAAUUAAUUAAACGAACAAAUAAUUAAUUAAUCAAUCCCCUUUUAAAAUAAAAAGAACAUAAUCUUUAUAUGUUGUUGACACCUAAAUUUUCCCAUUAGGAUUUAAUUGUCUACAAAAUUAGGAAUUAAUCGUUUAAAAAAAACAAAAAACAAAAAACAAAACAAACAAAAAGAAGAAAAUAAAAACAACAAAGAAAAAAGAAAAAAAGAAGACAUGGAAAGGGCCGGGCCGGAUCUCGCCUUGGCCCGGCCCAUGCCGCUUUAUGUCUCCAUCUUCGCCGAAACCCUAGCAACAAAAAGGGGGGGAGACCUGCAAGGAGAAAAAAGACCAGACAGAAAGAGGGAGAGGGUCCGAAAAAAAAAACGGAGAAACAGAGAGCCAAAAAAAAAAAAAAGGAGAGCUGGAGAGGGGAGCCCCUCCGUUGCCUGGGGGCCGAGCCCCUACGGUCGCCGCCUCCGUCCCGGCCAGAUCGCCUCCGCCACUACCCGCUCUACCGCGUCAGAACGCCGACCCCGAGCCUGCUGCUCGUGACCUCGCCCGUCUUACUGCUGCUGCAUCCCGACGCCAGUAGCCCGAACUGGUCACCGAGCCCCCUCCCAACACCAGCAACCCGCGAAGCCGACGUCAUUGCUGCGCGAACAAGCCAAAUCUGGGGGAGGAGGGCAGCGGCGGCGCUGCCGUCUACGUCCAAGCGCUGCCCUCGUCGCGUCACGCUCCGGCCACUGCUCAUUUCCCCAUGACNNNNNNNNNNNNNNNNNNNNNNNNNNNNNNNNNNNNNNNNNNNNNNNNNNNNNNNNNNNNNNNNNNNNNNNNNNNNNNNNNNNNNNNNNNNNNNNNNNNNUCAUUUCCCCCAUGACAGCACCGCUGUCCCGACCUCACGCUCGAGAACCCGACAACGGCAGAUCUGAGCCGAUCGUCGCUCCACCGUCAAGAAAGCCCCGCAUCGGCCCGUGCCUCCGCGCUGUUUCUCCUGGCUGUGUCUUCACCAGUCACCGCCGUGCCUUGUCUCGUCUACUCACCCACGAACACCGCCCUGCCAUCGUCGCCCUGCAUGUCGCGGUCAAGCCUGAGUGACUCCGAGCUUUGAAGCCGCAACGUCCCUACUCCUUCGCCGUUGUAGCCCCUGCAACGCCGACCUUCCUCGCUCGCUGCUCGCGGCCUCCAAUGACAGCAAGUCCUACUCCGGCGCCCAGCAAAUCUGCUCCAAGGCUCCUGCAACUCGAAACCCGCGGCGCCCCUUCAGUUUCGCCUUUUGCUGCUGCCCAAUGCCAUAGGAGCCUGCAUCGCCGGUCUACUGCCCCGCCGGACGUUGCCGCCAACGCCAGCAGCCCGGCCCCCUUUCGCUGCGCGACUUGCUGCACCUAUCGCCGCCGCCCGCCGCCCACCGCGUCGCCGCCACCGCCGUCAACACAAAACUCUAAAGUGGAGGUACAAACCGGGUCAAAGAAAUGGGUAGGGUUUUAGGUGAAUCAGGCUGAGUUUGGGCUGUUUUUGCUUGUGGGCUUUUAGGCUUGGGCUGGUUUAGUAUAGGCUUGUGGGCCUGCUUUCUUUUAAAAAGAGAGGAGAGGGACCUCUUGGGUUGGGCCCGCGAUUCGGGCCCACCUGCUCCUAAUCGGACCGAACCCAGGUCCGGUCGGAGACGGGACCCGAUCUGCGUCGACCGGGCCGAACCCAGGUCAGGUUGGAUCGGACCAGUCCGAUUCAGUUCAACAAAAAAAAAUUUUAAUAUUAAAAAAACAAUUUCGAAAAUCCAAAAAAUAUUUAAAAUUUUAAAAUUUUAAAAAAUUAUUUUUCUUUUAACAAAAAUUUUUAAAAAAUAAAAUAAAAUUUAAAAGUUUCGAAAAUCCAAAAAUGAUGGGGUUUGAUUAGGACUUGCCAUGUAUUGCCAUUUUAGCGUAAUUAGACCUUUAUGUGCUCGUAUAUUAAUUAUAUUGCAUUUUUUUAUUUGCAUAUCUAAUUAUAUUUGAUGGCAUGUGUUUAAUUUUAUGGCAAUUAGGAUUUUGGUAGUUAUGGUUAUUAUUUUAAUGAUUGCGCACCUGCAAGAUCACCUCACAUGUUAGUAGAUAAGCAUAAAAUCAAUUCAAGCUGCAUGCUAAAAAUUAUUUUGAUAAAAUGAACAAGAUUAGGUACCGAAAGGGCACUAAUUAGUUAAUUAGUGUAAUCAAGUCCCCGAACCUAGAUUCUCUGGUUGCGUAGGAAGUGAGGCACGCUCCCAUGCCUCACUUGGUUUCUAGCCGACCCUAAUAGGCUAGUGGCGACUCCUUUUGUGCAAAAUUCAUGAAAAAUAUCCCAACGUCAAGCGGGGUAUGGGCUUGGGAGAGCCCGCGCCCAAUCAUGGGCCUUAGGCCCGUCCUUUGGGCAAUACCCCUAAACCUGUUCCCUCCCCCGAGGGUAGGUCGCGACAUAUGUACAAUUGAAAUCCCUAAUAUGUAACUAUUACAUAGCAGCUUUAGGGCAUACAUCUAACAAUCUCCCACUUACACUAAAGCCAACUUGUUUGGUACCUCAAACCCAUUUGGUCAAUUCAUUGCCAUUAAUUAAAUAAUAAUAAUGAAAGUACACAAUUUGGGUAUGUUAACAUAUAUCCACUUUGGGCAUGCGUGUGCAUCAUAUGCAAGUAGGCUCGUGACUAUAAUACAAAUUAAAUUAAAUCUCAUUUAAUUUAAUUUCAAAUCGACUCAAUUCGAUUGCAGUAAUUGCAAACACAUUUGCAAUAAUAUUUCUCUCUUGUUCCACGUCAUCCUAAUUGUUUAUGGUGUGUGACAUUCCUAGGUUCAUCACUAAGCUGGUAGUAAGACUUGUACUAACACAUUAGUACUUCCAAAAGAAUUAAUUGUCCCGAUUAAUCUUUUAGGUCCUACAAGCCACAAUUGACAUCUAGCAAUAUGUCAUGGCUACCCAGAUAGUGUGAAUACUUUAAGAACAUAAUGAACCUGUCAGCUUUGGCUACAGUGUAAUUCAAUCCAUCUGUCUUACUAUGUCCCGAUCAAACAAAGACCAUGUAAUAUUUGUCAAGUCAUUAAUUCGAUCAUAUGUACAAAUCUAAUUGACAUGCAUUUUAUUCAAGAUAUAAACAAUUUAUUCUCGGUUAUAACCCCGGCUGAGGAUUUCAAUGCAGUGUCACAAUUAGAUCGCAUAGGACAUCAUUAUCAUACAUUGCAUAUAACAAGGAGACAGAUUCCAUAUUGCGCACACGCAUAACUUCAUAUAUGAACAAACUAUGAUCAUCGGGUAUAAAGACGGAUCAACAACCCGGCAUUAUGUGCACCCGUGAACCAUAGUUGUUCAAUACACAAGUUAACAUUGUGCCUCAGGUCUAAGGAUUAUUUACACAAGACCAAAGCAUAAACAAUUAGACAUUGACCACGCUAAAAGCUUCCAUGUCGCUAAUCGUUCCAUUUGCGUCACGUUCAGUGAAUUUGUCUAAUACAAACACCUGUGUUCUAACUCAGGCAUCAUAAUAUCCAAUGACAUGUGACUCAUCAUUCCCUUAAGUAUCCAAUACUUAAUGGCGAAGUUAAGAACACACCGGUCUCAACAAGAUUAUUAAUAAUCCACGCCCUGCAAGAGGCAGGGCAAAAGUCUGAGAGUGAGUGUAGAGUAGGACUAGAGUAGGACUGACAAAAAAAAAAAAAAAGGAUUAUUAAUAUCCACUUAAUAAUCCAUCGACCGGGAACGAUUUAAAGAUUCAGUCUAACUAUGAACCCGUCACAUAUAUUCUUGACGUCUCAAGAAUAGGUCUAGUUGCAACUGAUCUUAUGGAAUCAUUCAUCAAUAUAAAAUAAUUGGACAAAUGAAUGAAUACAUCAUUGCCAUUAAUUAAAUAAUAAUAAUGAAAGUACAACUGGAAUCCUUAAUAUGUAACCAUUACAUAGUAGCUUUAGGGCAUACAUCCAACAAUCUCCCAGUUGCACUAAAGCCAACUUGUCUGGUACCUCAAACCCAUUUUGUCAAUAUGUCUUUCAAAAGAAGACUAAGGUAAGGCCUUAGUGAAGGGAUCUGCCACGUUUUCUGCUGAGGCAAUUUUCUACAAGGCGAUAUCACCUCUCCCAACAAUUUCUCUGAUGAGAUGGAAGCGUCUCUCAAUGUGCUUGGACUUCUGAUGAGACCUUGGUUCCUUAGCUUGAGCUAUCGCCCCAUUGUUGUCACAAAACAAUGUGAUCGGUUGCUCAAUUGAAGGAACGACUCCAAGUUCAGAAAUAAACUUCUUCAUCCAAGCGGCUUCCUUUGCUGCUUCAGGAUAAGCUACAUACUCUGCCUCAGUGGUGGAAUCAGCAGUUAUACUUUGUUUGGAACUUUUCCAACUAACUGCACCACCAUUGAAUGUAAAGACAAACCCAGACGUAGACUUAUAAUCAUUAGGAUCCGAUUGAAAAUCAGAAUCAGUAUAAGCUACAACUUUAAAUUCUCAUUCUCCAUAUAUCAAUAAUAAAUCUUUAGUCCUUCGCAAGUAUUUAAGAAUAUUCUUGACUGCUAUCCAGUGCUCUUCUCUUGGAUCAGACUGAUAUCUACUAGUAAUACUUACAACAUGCGCAAUAUCAGGUCUAGUACAUAGCAUAGCAUACAUUAUGCUUCCAAUAGCGGAUGCAUAUGGUAUCUUUGCCAUUCGCUCUCUUUCUUCAGGAGUGUUGGGACACAUCUCCUUAGAAAGACGAAUCCCUUGCCUAAAAGGCAAUAAUCCUCUCUUGGAACAUUGCAUGUUAAACCGUGUUAACACUUUGUCUAUGUACGUAGAUUGUGAGAGGCCAAUCAAUCGUCUUGAUCUAUCUCUAUAGAUCUUGAUACCUAAAAUGUAGGUUGCCUCUCCUAAAUCUUUCAUGGAGAAUUUAUGUGACAAUAAUAGUUUUAUCGAUGAUAUCAUUGGUACAUCAUUUCCAAUCAAAAGUAUAUCAUCGACAUACAAAACUAGAAAUGCAAUUGCACUCCCACUGAUCUUCUUGUAUACACAAGGUUCAUCCGGAUUUUUGAUGAAGCCAAACGAUUUGACUACCUCAUCAAAACGGAUGUUCCAACUUCUGGAGGCUUGUUUGAGUCCAUAAAUGGAUCUCUUAAGCUUACACACCUUAUGUUUUUCACUAUUGGAUUCAAAACCCUGUGGCUGUUCCAUAUAGAUGUCCUCUUCGAGAAAACCAUUUAGAAAAGCCGUUUUGACAUCCAUUUGAAAUAUCUCAUAAUCAAGGUGUGCAGCUAUAGCCAACAUAAUCCGAAUGGAUUUUAGCAUAGCCACAGGUGAGAAAGUUUCGUCAUAAUCAAUUCCUUCUUUUUGACGAUAUCCUUUCGCCACCAGCCGUGCUUUGUAAAUUCCAAUUUGACCUUCAACAUUCAUCUUCCUCUUGAAGAUCAAUUUACAGCAAUUGGUACAAUACCAUCAGGCAGGUCAGUCAAGGUCCAAACCUCAUUAGAAUACAUUGAAUCCAUUUCGAAUUUCAUGGCUUCUAGCCAUUUUCCAGAAUCGAUGUCCAACAUCGCCUCCUCAUAGGUUUUAGGAUCACCGGGUUGAUCAUUAUCAUUCACAAUGAAUAAUGAUUCAAUAUGAUCAACCGAGUGUCUAUAACGAGCAGGUGGGUGAGACGUUCUCGCACUUCUCCUAAGAGGUUGUGUAUCAUAAGCUCCCACUGAAUCAGAGAUUGGUAUUUGAACUCAGUUGUUUGAUACUUCAUUAUUUUCUUCUUGUAAGACUAUUUUCCGCCCAGCACCACUUUCUUGGAUGAACUGAUUCUCCAAAAAAGAAGCGUGCUUGCAUACCAAAAUUCUUUGGUCUGAAUGAAAAUAGAAAUAAUAUCCAAGAGUUUCCUUUGGAUAUCCAAUGAAGCGACCUUGUUCAGAUCUUGCCUCCAAUUUUUCCAUUUUCAUCUUUUUCACAAAAGAUGGAUAACCCCAAAUCUUAAUAUGAUUAAGACUAGGUUUCCUACUAUGUCAUAUCUCAUAGGGCGUAGUUGGAACAGAUUUGGACGACAUUCUAUUCAGUAUAUAUACAGCUGUCUUAAGGGCAUAUCCCCAAAGGGAUAUUGGUAAAUCGGUGUAACUCAUCAUAGAUCGUACCAUAUCUAAUAAAGUAGGAUUUCUUCGUUCAGAUACACCAUUAUGUUCUGGAGUUCCAAGAGGUGUCCAUUGUGAUAAAAUGUUAUUCUCUUUAAGAAAGUCCAGGAAUUCAAUACUAAGGUAUUCACCUCCUUAAUCUGAUCGAAGAGCCUUAAUACAUUUUCCUGUUUGUUUCUCAACUUCAGCCUUGAAUUCCUUGAACUUUUCAAAGGAUUCAGAUUUAUACUUCAUGAGGUAUAAAUAACCAUACAGUGACUGAUCAUCGGUGAAGGUAAUGAAGUAAUUAUAACCACCUCUAGCAAUUUUAUUAAUUGGUCCACAUACAUCUGUAUGUAUUAAUUCUAAUAUGUCAGCAGCUCGCGCACUUUGUCCCUUAAAAUGCGCUUUGGUCAUUUUUCCUAGAAGACAUGCCUCACAAGUCGAGUAUGACUCAAAAUUUGAAGGAUCAAUGUAUCCAUCAUUACUCAACUUGUUAAUUCUGUCUUCUCCAAUAUGACCAAAUCGGAGAUGCUAAACAUACUUUUUAUUUGGACCGUCUCUAGGGCGUUUAUUAGUUAUGGCAUUUAUAUCAAUUUCUAUUUUGCUUAUUGACAUUGGUAAUCGCAUUACCGGACAUUGUAAUGGUAUAAAGAUUGUUGGUUAAUAAGCUAGAACCAACACAUAUUCUAUUAUGAUAAAUAGAACAUACAUCAUCAACAAAAGAAAAUUCAUAAUUCUCUUUACCCAAACGAGGUACAGAGAUGAUGUUCCUAACAGCAUUCAGCUUAUUUCCAGAUUCUGCAAAGACAUACAAAUAUGUGAAGUUGCAGCAGAAUCUAGAACCCAUGAGCUGGAUUCAGCACUAACCAUAAGAUUAAUUUCAAUAAGCAUAGACACCAUACCUUCAUAAGGUUGGUUCUUGGGCUUGACCUUCAAGCUCGCAAGGUACCUCCUACAGUUCCUCCUCCAGUUUCCUUUGACACCACAGUAAUAACAUUUCCCUUUAUCAAUCAUGGGUUUUGGUUGCACAACAGGUUUGGCAGGUCUCUUCCAUUUAUUCUUCUUUAAAAUAGUCUUACCCUUUGAAGAAGAAGCCUUAGCCAUAGCCACUACAUUUGGCCUCGUGUUAUGCAUUUCCUUCUCAUAAACUACCAACAUGCUAUGUAACUCAGCAAGAGUUUUCUCCAUCUUAUGCAUGUGGAAGUUUUGGACAAAACCAGAGAAGGAAUCGGGUAAAGAUUGGAGGAUCAAAUCCACAGCUAACUCAUUGUCCAUAACAAGAUUUAGCCUAGCCAAUUUUUCAAUGUGCCAGAUCAUUUUCAAAGCAUGAUCAUUAACUGAUGAUCCUUCAGCCAUCCUCAUACGGUACAAUGCCUUAGAUAUCUCAUAUCUAGAGGUUCGACCAUUCUCAUCAAAGUAUUCCUUUAAAUGCAAAAUGAUCGACCUAGCAUCUUCUAUAGAUUCAUACUUCUUUUGUAAUUCAUUAUUCAUCGAAGCAAGCAUAUAUGACCUAACUUUUAAGUCAUCAUCAUGCCACUUAUCAUAAGUGACACGUUCCUCUUGGGUCCCACCCUCAGGAAAGGAGGCUGGCAUAUUUUCAUCAAGCACAUACCUAAUUUUUUCUGAAUUGAGAACAAUUCUCAAAUUCCUCACCCAGUCAGUGAAAUUGGGUCCAGUCAAACAAUUCUUGUCAAGUAUAGAAGCGAGUGGGUUUGUGGUCACCAUUUUCAGAGUAAUAAUAUAUCUACUGCAGAAAAUAAAUUGUUAGCUGUUGUAUCUUUCAAAGUAACUAUUUCAUUUUGGCCUUUAAAUAAAAUAGAUCCUCCCACUAAAUUUAUAUUCGAAUCUCAUACUCCUUAAGAUGGGAAGCGGUAAUCUUUGUUGGGUAAAGAUUACUAGUGGGGAUUGGAGUCCCACUAGCCCAAAGUUCACCUCACCUAACAGUUAUUGGUGUCCUAUGAACUUAGUGAGUGAACCAGCUUGUUCAACACAUCAUAUGCGAGUCCCAAUCAUAACUUCGGCCUCUAGACCAUGAAAGCCUCACCUAAUAGUUAUUGGCAUCAUGAUCAUAGUUAAGUCUAGCCCAUCGUCUCAUGCAAGUAUUGAAAACACAAAUGAUUCCCUCACUUGACAGUUAUUAGAAAUCAUUUGGCUCCAACCCCACAGCAUCAUAUGCAUAAUGGAGUGGUCCAAUAUUAUAAAUGGUAAUUAACUCCUAUGUAUCCAUAACCGGUUAGUUAACCACUAUAAUAUUGGAUCAAACCACGACGAUGGAAGGCCACGAGUCUGAAACCCGUUUCGACUUAAUAUUCUUUGUAAGGAGAUUUGGGUCGUUAUUAACGGUCUCACUUUGCACAUUAACCGGUUUAACAUGCACGAUAUCAUAAACACAAUAAAUAAAUAGAUAUCACAUAAACAUCUAUCCUAUGUGGUGAUCAUAGAAUUAUGGUUCAAUGGGUCUCGAGCCAAAGAGACCCAUUUAGCCAUUUUAAUGUUUUAAUAAUAUGGACCCGCUCUUCACUUUUUCUUCAAUCUUUGAACUCUUCAAAGACCGGGCUCAAAGAGCUCACCGGUUUAAUGGCUCCUCCAAUGGCUCAUCCUCUCUUGUAGUAUUUACAUCAACAAUUGAAAUACUAAACUAUACUAAAAUUACAUAUCAAGAAAAAUUAAAGUAAAAUAAAAGGAAGGACGCAGCCUCCAUUUAAUAAUUACAUCCCCAAAAAGAAUACCUGUAAUCAUCAUAAAUUCAUACAUACAACAAUCACAACAUUUAGGGAUUUUUCCAUGAUCACCACCCUUCCUUACGAGCCAUAAAUUCAAAAUUUAAAGCUCUGGAAGGCAUGCAUAAAAUUCUGCAUAUCAUUUGCAAAAUAUAAACAUCAAGUAUAACAAGUUAUGGAAUUUUGAUUCAAAAUUGAUUUAGUUCUAAUUUUUGCUUAGUUGAUUAAAUUUAUCAUAUAAAUUAAUCAACUUCUAUAAGCCACAUAAAAGGUAAGAGAACAAAUUCUCUUAACAAAAAUAAAUUGGCCAUUAGAACGCAAAAAUAUAUUUGAACUACAAAUCAAUUAAACGCACGAAAAACGCCUAAGGUUGGCUCUGAUACCACUGUUGGGAUUUCAUGAAUCAUGUAUAAGAAAAUUAACGAAAUAAACACAGCGGAAACAAAAGAUAAAUAUUACACAUGAUUCUCCUUAGGCGUUGUUCGUGCGUUUUAAUCAAAAAUCUAAACAUAAAAGGGAGUUAAACGAAAUACCUCUCGAAGUGCACUUUGAAACGAGUCGGUUCGGUUGUUCUACAAUUUGAGUCCCACAAGCGUCGGACCUCUAGUUCAGACACACCAACAACGAACGUCGAACGGAAAAGAGAACUUUCGGAUGUUCACCACUUCGAUCGUGCUAGCAAUCACGUGGAAACAAUCCGUCGUAUUCUUGAUGUAUAGUAGUCACGGCCCGAACGAGAUAACACUCUUCUUUCUUGCGCCUCAAAGACACAAGAACACGCACACACUUUGCUCUCUUUUUCAGCAAAGCAUCUUCUCUCUUAAAAACUAGCGCACGCCCACCUUUCUCUGUAUUUCAGCCCCUUGAAGUGUCACACCAAAAACCAACUCUUUAAAAAUAUAUAUAUAAACAUAUCAGCAACGGUAGCUGAUCGAUGGACGAUCAGCAACCGUUGCUGAUCGUCCCCACUCAUGCACGAACGAUCGUGCAUGAGCGGUUGCUCUCAUACACGACUUCGUGCAUGAUGGUCAGCAACUGCUGACCAUUCAUGCACGAUUUUGUGGAUGAUGGUCAGCGGUUGCUGACCAUCCAAGGUUCAUGCAUGUGCUUCGUGCACAUGCAUGAAGCUUUAUAUAUAUUAUUUUAUUAUUAGUUAUUAAAAGGUAUUAAUUAAUUAAUUAAUUAAACGAACAAAUAAUUAAUUAAUCAAUCCCUUUUUAAAAUAAAAAGAACAUAAUCUUUAUAUGUACAAUUGAAAUCCCUAGUAUGUAACUAUUACAUAGCAGCUUUAAGGCAUACAUCUAACAGUUGCUUCCCAUUUGGUUAUGCAAGAACUCAGUAAGCAUGAACGGGUCAUUAUUAACUAAUCGAGAGUUUUAAUAUGCGUUUUGCUCUCUCCAUUUGCAGAAACUUAAGCAAAAACAAUUUAAGCGGUGCGAUUCCUUAAGCCCUUAUGAAGAAGGUGGCAGAUGGAACGUUGAGGUACAUGACCCAAGACUUGAAGUUAAUCUCAAACUGACAAUAGAAAUUCUAAUUAUUCUUGUUUCCUAAUUAUUAUCUAAGUUUAAGGCCACAGUAAAGAAAAAUAUUAAUAUGAAUACCCCAAAAAGUCAGGAUUUCUUCCCAGUUAUCUUAAUCCUUUUUUUUAUGGAUAACUAGUUACAAUAUUACAGUGUAGAAGGAAAUCCAUAUACGUCUCAAGUAUAUGUGUCCAAGCCAGAUCCCAGUCCUAGCGCAAAGGGCCAAGCACAGAACAAGAAAAAAUGGAUUGUGCCGAUUAUUAUAUUUAGUUCAUCCAUUUUAGCCCUAAUCUUCGUGUACUCUCUCGUCAUCAUAAUUUUGAGAACCACAAGGGGAAGACGAAGGUGAUUUUCAUUUCCUUUUUCGAGUAUAAUCUCUACCCAAUGAUCACUUGUGGUAAUCAAUUAGUCUUCGUUUGUCUAGUUAACGCAAGAGAACCAAAUGAGGGUACAUUCAAAAUGAUGAAGGAACGAACAUUUUGAUUCGACGAAGUCCUGCGCAUCACUGAGAAUUUUAAGGUGGUGAUUGGAGAAGGCAGAUUUGGGAAAGUCUAUUUUGGAACUCUUGAUGAUGGCUCCAAAGUUGAGGUGAAAAUGUUCUGCCAGUCUUCACGGCAAGGUCACAAGGAAUUUCUAGCCGAGGUUAGAACAUGAAAUCGAAUUGAUUUUCUAUAAAUGGAUAACGCCAUCUAGAAUUUUUUUUAUUUUUUUAUUUUGCACCAACCAUUCUAUUUAACCUUAACGAGUUUAUGAUUCUUCUUCUUCUUCUUUUCCAUGCUGAGUGCAGGCACAACUUCUGAUGAUUGUUCACCAUAGGAACUUGGUUUCUCUAAUUGGAUAUUGCAAUCAUGUUCGUGGCAUGGCACUAAUUUUGCGACUUCAUCUAUUAUGGAAACCUCAGGCAACUUUUAUCAGGUACGCAGUACUAUAGCAAUAUCGUGUUUCCAAAUUGGUUGCUCAAUGAACUAUAUAUAACAGUUAUAAGAGAUGUUCAUAACUAGCAAGGCAACUAUAUAGAGUACUAGUAGAAGUGUAACUUGUCUCCUUCAAUGUUUGCAAUACGAUUAAGUCCGAAAAGCAUUCGUUGUGGUGACUUCUUGAGCUUAUUUCUUCAUCUCUACAGAAGAUAAUGUGAAUGUCUUGAGCUGGUCACAAAGAUUGAACAUUGCAAUCGAUGCUGCUCAAGGUAUAAAUUGGACGAAGCAAUAAUAAUCGAUUUGCUUUCAUUAGACAAAACAUGCAAGCGAAGAUAGCAGAUUUUGGGCUAUCCAAAGCUUUCGCAACCAAUCCAGGACUCUCACGUUUCAACUAGCCCAGCUGGCACGCCAGGUUACCUUGAUCCCAAGUGAGUGAUCUCAAGACUCUAUUAACCUUGAAACUAGACCUAAUGAUAAGCACAGUGAUUUUAACAGUAUAUCAUUAUCGCAGCUGGGGCUAAAUUUUUGCCUAUUAGGCUCCACAAGGCACUACCCUAAGAAUAAGAUAAUUUAAUUGAAGCAGGCUUGAGCAAUCUCUUCUCCCUCGAGCGGACCCUCAGAUUGUUAGGUGAAUUUCUGUGAUAUAUAACAAAUAAGAUGGCUUGGGCAUCGGUUAAAGCUCGAUCUUCAGCUCAACCAAUUGCUAGGCACCUGUCUAAGUUAGGCAAUUGGGAUUAGGCCUGAUUCCAACAAUUUAGAAAUACCAAAGAAAAGCUUUAGCUCACAAUUUUUUAGUAUCUGUUAUGCCUCCGGUUCUCCAUGGUUUUGCUGAACAAAUCUCACUUUCCGACUUUGAGAUUUCAAUCAUCUGGCAAUCUUAGUUGGAAGAGCGACAUGUACAGCUUUGGGAUCAUACUGCUCGAGCUCAUCACCAGCAGACCAGCCAUCAUAAGGAGCCUGAAGAGUAGCACCAACAUUAUCGAAUGGGGGACUCCUCUCAUAGAGCAAGGGGUUCUACACAGCAUUGCGGAUCAGAGGCUCCAAGGCCAGUUCAACACUGCAUCAGUUUGGAAAGCAGUGGAGACAGCAAUGUCCUGCGUGAGCCUAACUUCGAUGGGCAGGCCUGACAUAAACCAUGGCUUAUCUGAGCUCAAAGAAUGCUUAUCUCAUGAAGCCAAUGCUUCUGGGUCCUUUGAGUUGACCUCCUUGGAGAUCGAUCAGGCAACGCAUGCCAGGUAGGUUGCUGAAUUAACCUGUUUAGGUUUUGGCUCACUACUUACCGGAUCCAUGUCAGUGAAGUCGGAUUAUCCAUCGGUCCGGGGUUUAUUUUCCCAAGGUGGCGUUUUUCGUCAUCCAAAUAAAUGAAAAUACAUGUAACUUUUUAUCAUGAUGACCCGUUUCUUGUUAUUAAUUUGCAUUUGGAUGGUAUUGUUGUGGAAGUGUGGCGAGGGUGUGCUGUUCUGAUAUGCUCCAAAAGUGCUUUCUUUGGAUCUGUGACUCUGAAAGAAUACUUAGUUCUUAUCUGAGUAAUUCCUAUGAGCUUGCGUCCUUUGUAUCCUCUGUAUUCCAUAGAUAAUUAUCUCGACUUCUAACUUUAGAGUUAAUCAAAGUGCAAAAUAAAUUAGUUUUAUUUAUUCGAACCUAACUCUAGUUUUGUCGCACCUAAAUUGUUUAUUUCUAUAAAGUUAGAGUCACAUGAGAAAUUAAGCGGCUUUAACUACGAUCAAGUAAGUGUUAAAUGCAAAAGAUGUAUGAAGACCCACAUCAGUAAAAGGAGAAAAUGAUAUUAGAAGUGCUAAAAGUUUUGUAUAACACUCACUUUAAUGUCAUUUUUUUUUUCAGAUUACUUAGGUACCACUUAAAAAAAAAAAAACGACCACUUAAGUGCUAACUCCGAUCUAGGUAGCUAGAAAUUCAACAUGACUAUAUUUUAUUAAUUUCUCAAUCCUAUAUGGCUCACUAGCGUGCCUAGUCAACAUAUAACUCACAAACGAUAUCGUCUAAAAAAUUGUAAAGCGAUCAAUUUAGUGUCGAUCAUUAUUAAAAAGUAAUCACUUCAAUACCAAGCACAUAACAGGGAAAUGCCAUGUGGACUAGAUUUUUUAAAUAAUAUGGUAAGUUAUAUAAAAUUUCUAAUUAUAAAUUAUCAUUUUUGUCUUGUUGGCACGUAAUUAUCAUUUUUCUCCGAUUUAGCACUUAACUGAUCUUAUGGAAAAUUUUGGCAUUAAAAUGAACGCCGUACACAACUUUUGUCACUUUUAGUGUUCAUCUGCCUCAAUAAAAGCAUGUUUUUCUUUUCGAUUCUCUUUCAUCAACUCUAUUUCUACACUGACCAAAAAAAAAAAAAAACUCUAUUUCUACCAUUCCAUAUUUACACAAGUAAAAAAAUAAUUCUCUUCAAUCCCAGAGAUGUCGGGAAGAAAAAGUACUUUAGUUAUAUGGUAUCUAUAUUUUCGUUUUUCGAACUGCGCAUGGAGAUAUAGAUGUAGCUUGCAUGGAAUUCAGUCAGAAAGGGCACAAUAUUAGAACUUCACGACUAGAUAGUGUAGAGUAGGGAAGCGUGGCUCUAUACUACUUGUUGGGUAUGGUGACAUGGUUUUGAUAUCAAAUGUCGAGUUGAGAAAGCUGUGAUGUCCCUUAUCGAGUGUAUACAUUGGCGGGCACAGUAAGAAAAAGCAUUAUUUCAUGAACUUGAACAUACCAGUUUCGAUGAGGGUACGUAAAGAAACGAUACACUCAGCCGCAAAUGAAGACCGCACUUACACUUACGAUUUCUCACUCAUACAACUCAAGUCACUCACUUGGACACUUGCAGAACUCCCUGACGACUCUCGGAUCACAAAUCUCCAGCUGUAAUGUGUAUGAAUCCAAGCAAAUCGAUAGAUGAAGAGAAAGCCGAAAAUAACUGCUUCACUUGAACAUUGAUCAUAUAAGUGCUUCCCAUACCAGUGCAAGAGGCCAACUUGUCCCUUCAAUGGUUUUUGGUGUUAGAUAAAUCUUAAUCUGGCAGGUCAGACUAGCACGGAAUUUCAAAGGUGGACACUAGGAUAAAAAGUUCUCCCUUCAUUCUUCCCUGGCAAAUCUAUCUCUCUAUCAAAAGCGAGGUUUCCCUUCCUUUAUAAUGGCUCCUCUUACUAAUCUAGCCUAAAUAUGAGGUUUCUGUAUGCGACAUACUACUUUUGUUUUGGUACAAUAUACUAAAGUGGAUCUGCAAAAUUAAAAUAUGUCUCCUACAGGCAGUAUGAUACAGAUUGCUUUAUCAUCAUGGUAUCGCAUACAUAGUGCGAUUUAAUAGCUUAGUACGCACAGACCCAUGCCUCCGAACAUUAUGAUGACAACUCCGGGAAUAUUCGCGAGGACAAUAUCAAAGCACCAAGCAAAGCAACCGAAAGUUUUAAGAGAUUCGGAAUCGAUGGGAAUGAAAUUUUUGACUGAGAAUGCAUUCAAUAAUCAAGAACAAUCAUGCACUGAAAAGAACAAAUUCGAAUGCCCCCCUAAACUGUCAAGAGUCUGAGACCAAGCUGGACGGACUUUGUUCGGGCAUUUCUUCGAACGCGUAGUGGACAGCGCGUUGGAGAGCAAAUAUAGACUUUUUCAGAGCUCGAACUCACACCCAAACUCGAGAAAUCAGCGAGCAACGUUCGAACUUAAGAGAAACCGACUCAUUCGGGUCCGACGCGGUUGAGGACUAGGGAAAUCGAGCUUGCUUAGCUCUUUAAAAUCAAGCGGGACGCAGCUAAAAAAAGGAAAAUAAAAAAUAAAAAAGAAGAAGAAGGAACGAGCACUCAAUCGCAGGACCCUACCUGGCUUGGCGACGACGUCCGGAAGCCGGUCUUAACACACAUCUAGCUAUGGCCGGCCGUCUUAGUGUCGCCAAGCCGGGAUCCUUAAGAAAACAACGGAUCGAAACCAAAACUCAACUCACCAACGUCGGUGGCGCCAGUUCGCCAAGUCAUUUUCUUAUUGUUCUCCAUCGGGGAAUCCGUCCACUGCCUUUUCUUGCUCAAGCCAAAGCACUUCUCUUUUGGCCCCCAAAAGCGAAGUAAAAAUUAUCCACGAAUGCCGUGGCAAGUUCUUGACUUCCGUAAUGGAAAAGAUUGCAUCCCAUAUACUUGGAUUGAAGAAAAUAAAAGUGAUUUUUGCUUUAAAAUGGUCUAAUUAAUUUGACAAUGCUCUGGAUCUUGCCGUGAGUGCAUUGUGAUCAGGAGUACUCUUCCCCACAAGGAAAAGCUUUGUCAAUGGGGCAUCGUGCAUGCAUAUCCAAUCAGACUUAUUAUUUGGGAUUUUUUUUUCCCGCUGGUUUAACUCCAUACAUAGAAGAAUUUGACCAUUAUUGGUUGUGCUCGUAAAUUUCAUUUUUCUAUUUUUAGAAUAGAUUUCUAUUCCAUAAAUAUAUUUGGAGCAGAAAUCAAAAGUUAAAACUUUUCUAUUUCUGGAACAAAAGUGAGAAAUGAAAACUCUUCUUAUCGUUCACUCUCGUCACCACUUGCCAUCUACUCGCCGUCCGUGGCAUGCUGGACGCUAGCCACUAGCUGCCGAAUACUGGCAGAGGGGCAUUGGAUGCCAGCCCCUCUCCCCCUCAAGAAAUACAAAUUUUAUUAUGUUAUCAAACAAAUUUCUACUUCAUAAAUAUAAAUUUUGAGUCGUUAACAAACGUGUUUCUUUACUUAAAAACUCGUCUAGGGAAUAGAAAUAGAGAAAUCAAUUUUUGCCCAUAAAUUGAUUUUUGUUCAAAAAAUAUUGUCAUGUGAGCCCUUAUUGAUGAGGGUGCGCCUCCCUCUCCCCCUAGCCCAAUUUCCCAAGUUUAUUUUGCUUCGCACCUAGGGAUGAAGGCUCCCCAUCCUCCAUCGAGCAUAAACCCUAAAGAGGAUGAGAGCAAUAUAAGGACAUACUCAGAUCCCUAGGGUUGUCGCAAGUUGUGACUUAUAAGGACUUCAAAAUAGGGAUUAAAACAUGUUUGGAUUGAAAACCACAUUGUUGGGUCGAGUGUCCAAGCAAAAUGCGCCUGGACAAUCGGACACUAUUAUUUUUUAAAAUUUUCUCUUCAUUUUUUUUAUUUUUCUUUAUUUCUUUUCCUUUUUUCGACCCUUGCCAAGCUUGGAAAAAAAGGAAAAUAAAAAUUAAAAAAUUCAUAUAUCAUAAAAAUUGUUAACAUCAAUGCUGGUCGUAUCAUGUAAGAUAGUCAACGUCUAUAUUAGUAAUUUUUAGUUAAAAUUGGCCAAAUAAACUCAAUUAAUAAAAUGUGAAAAUGUUUUUGACUCAAUUAGUAAAACAAGAAAAAUAUUUAUGACUUAAUUAACAAAAUUAAAAAGUCUACAAUUGAAAUGAUCAAAAUAUAAUAGGUUUAUGAUUUUUGACUAAUUUUUCUCUAAUAAUUUAGGUUGAUUUAAAAUCAUCUGACGGAAUUUAUCAAUAUCGUUCCACUUGCUAUGCGUUAAAGAGACUUACCGAGAGAGAUGUUCAAGUCAACUCAAGUCAAGGAAAGGGCACUAUCAAAAGGAUGGCCAGAUUUUCAAAAGUGUACUCGUUACUUUUUUUCUGAAUGGCCCAAAAAAGAGAACGAUAAAGCAAUGUACUGCAUCUUUGGACGACCAUAAAAUGACGUCGACCACGACAACUAUAAACAGUAAGAAUAUUUGUGACACGAUCACUCUCCCCCAACUUGAAUUGGAAAGAAGCAUUCUACAUGCAAAACCACUAAUUUCAACUCAUUUGCGACCGGUCCAAUAAAUAAAUGCACAAAAUACAAAUUAAAAACAAAUACACCUAAAUUUAUAUGAUAUGUAAUUAAUAUUUUUUUUCAAUGAUAAAAUUAUCCCCUAAUUUUUAAUGCGAUAAAUAACUAAACGGGUUGCCAAAAUUUAAGCGUCAAUAAUCUUGUUAAAUGAAAACAUGCAAGCCAAAAUAUCCGACUUUGGUCUGUCGAGACCUUUGGCAGCUGCAAAUGGUUCUUACAUGUCAACUAGUCCUUGGGGCACUCCUGCCUACCUCCCCCCUGAGUAAUGGCUUACACUUAAUAUUGUUAAGAUGGUUCUCAAUCUCUAUUCUCGUAGAAAAUCCGACAGUCCAUGUUCUUAUUGUAUGUUGUGCAAGUAUAAACCAUUUGCUUAUGAAUUAAACAAGAAAAGUGACGUCUACAGUUUUGGGAUUGUGCUUCUUGAGCUAAUUUCAGGACAUCCAGCAAUCAAUACAAGUGGAGAUGGAAAAAGCGUGCACAUAUGUGAAUGGGCGAUUCCGAAGUUCAAAAAUGGAAAUAUACGCGGACUUAUCGAUCCAAAGGUGGAAGAAAAAUUCGACAUCGACUCAGCCGAGAUAGCAGCGAAGGUUGCGGAGUCUUGUACACAACAAAAACCAGAUGCAAGGCCAGACAUAAAUCGUGUUCUGAUAGAUUUGAAGAGGGCGAUUGAACUGGCAUUCAAGCACAAGUAUGUGGACGGAAAUCAAGAGGAGCAUAUAGAAGCGGCCUCCUUGGAAGUUGAAUUAGAUAAUGCACCCCGGUAAGGGUAGUUCAUUCGAUCCAUUAGCAUUCGUCCCGUCGAUUGUGAAACUUUGGCAACUCCCAGGACUAAAAUCAAGUCUUCCUAUAUUUUGAAUUUGUGUCUGUGUAAAAGAUCGGAAUACCCAGAGGCUAUUCUCGUCUGUGUUAUUAUAGAUAUUGAGUGAGCACUAUCUUUCAACAUAGUCAACUUCAUUGAUGGUUGUGAAUCGUUCAUGUUUUUCCUAAAUUACAGUUAGUAAUCAACAGGUUACCAGUUAUAUGAAUUUACAACGGUGAUUCAGAAUCUUGCGGCCAAAAUUACAUGUUUACCUUGAGCCGAAAAAAAAAAAAAAAAACAAAAAAGUUCAUUUUCUAAUACAAAAUUUAAGGAAUGUCCCCAAGAAAGACAACCGUGGAAUGAGAAAUUCUGUGUACCAUGGGAAUAUUGUCUAUACUAGCUUAAGCCGUGAAGCUAAAUCAUGAAAUCAACCAAGUGCACUCGAGAAAUGUGAAUAGAUAGGUAGAAGUUGACAUGUGAAUUCGCAAUCGGUCCAAGCAUUUUUUGAUUGACUGUAAUUAUAACAAGUAAUCUGAGUAUUUACUGUUAUUAGAACGAUGAAUAGGUUUAGUACCUAGAUGAAUGAAAGGAAAAACAAAGCAUUUUGUGCUUGUGACACCCUCAGUCAACUUCCUCCUUUCCAAUGGAACAAAUAAAUUGAACUAUACCAAGAAAAACAUGCAUUAAACAUUGACCCCGGCCCACUCACUGGGAGGCAGGCCACCAUGCCUUCAUGUUAACGAGAAGUAUGAGCCACAACUCAACACAACUUUUUUUUAUUUAUUAAUUUAUCAAUUAAUUUUGGUUUACCAACUCUCAUUUGAGUUGCUUUACUAACAUUUAGUUUUUAUUUAUUUACCAACUUAUUUAUAGAGUUCUCACUUUCUUUUGUCUUACUUACUAAAUUUUUAGACAUAACAACUCUUUUAAAAUAUUACCAAUCUCAAUUAGAGUGAUUACCAACUUUCCUUAUUCUAAGUCAGUUGCCAAUGUUAUUUUGUCUUUUCUUAAAUUACAAAUUUUUGUCUCUAACAAAAAAAAAUUCCCUAUAUCAUUUACUAACUUUUAUUUAUCUUUAUCAUCGAUGGCUUAAAUUUUCUAACUAAAUUAUGGUAACUCAUUUUGAAAGCCCAAUAUUAAGUUGUAAUUUAAUGGAACAAAAUUUAGCGAGUCGCAGUAAUUAAGUUGGUUAUAGAGUUAGUAAACGGCCCUCUAACCAAGGCAUAUAAAAGCUGAUAAAUCAAUUAAAAAGUUGGUAAAUUCAAACGGAAACUAUAAAAACAUUGGACAACAACUUAAAUGAGAGUUGGUAACCCAAAAUUAGUCGAUAAUUUAGAUCGAUAAUUUUGCAUAAAAGUUAAUAAACUUGAAAUGUUCAUGAGUUAUGUAGAUAAAAAGUUGGCAGAUUAGUAUAGAUAUUCCUAAUUUACAUAUUAUAUAAAUAAUUAUUAUUUUAUCAAAGUGUUGGUAAAUUACCAACAAGUAACCUAGAAAAAAAAAGAGUUACCGAUAAUUUUUUAAUCAACAUUUUCCAACACUCACCAAUAACUAUUGAAAUUUAUUGUUAUGGAAAAAAUCCAUAUUUUUCAGACAUGAAAAAAAAAUAUUGGAAAACUCUUUUAGCAUAAAAAGAAGGGAUAAAGCCACCAGAAACCUAAACUAUUUUCAUUUUGACAUAAAUACCAUGUAUUUUUUGUGGCACUAAAAAUUUAAAACUUGCACUUAUGUGACAUAUUAAAAUUUGUCUACAUUGAUUACAUUUUUUUGACAGAAAAAUCAUCUAACGAAGUCUUGAUACCUAAAAUUUUGACAAUCCGUUUAAUCAUUAAUCAAUUACAUAAAAAUUAGGAUUAAAUUAUAAACCCUAGCAAAAAUUCUCACUAAAUCAUAUAGACAUUAGGAGCAUUUGCAUUACUAGUAUUAAAAAUUUAAGAAAAAUAUUAAAAAAUUAUUAUUAAAAAUUAUUAUAUGAUAAUAACUUUUUUUAUUAAAAAGAGAGAGAGAGAAGGGGAAAAGCGAGACCGGGCCGGGGGCAGGCCGCCCCGGCCAAUUUUUUUCUUUUCUUUUUCACUCCCGCCUGGGCCUUGCCCAGCCCAUUUUUGUUCUUUCUUUUCAGCCCAAGCCGGCCUCUCCUUCCUCCUCUCCCUCACCUUCUCACGCAUUCCGCAAAAAAGGAGAGAGAGGACCCAAGGACAGAGGCAGAGGAGACAGGCGCGAGCGUCGCACCGGAGUUGGUGGUCGGGGGCAGAGCGGCAGCAACAGCUGGGGUUGCAGGAGGCCAUGUGCGCUGGGUGACUUAAAAGGGAGAGAGGAGAGCGAGCAAGGGAGGAGAUUCGGACGAGGGGGUCCGGAGAGAGAGAGCAGAGAGCGGGGCUGAGAGCGAGAGGGUUCCUCCGGCGACGGAUACGCUUGAACCCCGGCCGAAAUCCCACCGACGUCGCCCCACUUCCCGCGUCGAGCCCACGGUAGAUCCGGGUUCUCAUUCUUUUCUUGAUUUUCCUCCGGUCGGGUCGAUUUCCCGAGGGUCCCGCCUCGGAGACGCGCGAGACGAACGGACGUAGCGCGAUCUACCGAGUUCGCCCACCGCCCGUCGCCGCCGAGCCGGGUGGAGAGUACUAUCGCACGCCCCUGUUUUUACCUUCUUACGCCUCGUCUUGCCCUCUUUCGGGCUCGCCGGACCGGGGUCGCCUUUGUCCGGUUAGCGCGAGUUCCGGUCCCCAUCCGUACGUGUGAUGUGUUUUUUUCUUUUUUCUUUUUUGGGGUCAUUUCUUGUUGAUGGCAUGAGUCGGCACGAGUUUGGGUUCAGUCCAUUCGUUUUUUUUUCUCUUUUAGCCAAUGCACCUCUCCUGUUCGAUGAAAUGCUCGAACUGGAUUCCGCUUAGAACUCCUCUGAUUUUGGGUUGAUUCUGGGUGUACAUUGGUCCUUAGACUCGGAUUUGUAGUUCUUUGAUCCGUUGCUUGAUGUGUCGUUUCUUUGUGCGUAUUGUGUCUUUUCCGUCUAAUGCAAUGGUUGGCCAGAGUGACGGAAGUAGAUUUGCUUUUUCGACGGUGAGUCGAGGUGGAGGCCGACCAGGACGAUGGACGUUAGUUGCUGACUUGCUAUGGGUGUGUAUGGGCGUUAAUCAUCUGGUGUUAGAAGUGAAAAUUGAUGGUAAGUCGGUCUGGCGAUUGAAGACCGGUGAUGGGCGCAUAUUAAUUCAUUCACUGCGAAGCUUGGCGUUCGGGCAUGCUUGGGGGAGGUCACUCUUCUCGCGUUAUGUUGAAAUAGAACAGAGAAGGGGUGGUCAAGAGGAGUGAGCGUUGUGGGCUUAGCUAGGCAUAGUGGACUUUAGGCUCAUUUAGGCUUAAUGAAUCUUGGGCUGAAAUAGUAAUGAAAGGAAAAAGGGCUUGAGUAAUGGGCUUUGUGUUGCUUUAGGGAGAGUGGGCUUUUGAAGUUUCAAUUAAAAUAGGCGUAAGUAGUAAGCCCAUUUAAAGCAUGUUCUCGUAUAGCCCACGUUCUGACCCGGUCCCUAUUUUCGGAUUAUCAAUUAAAAAUAAUAAUAUUUAUUUAAAAAGUAUAUUAAAAAAUUAGCAAAAUUCUGAAAAUUUUUAUUUUUUUCGAAAAUUCAUGAAAAAGCUUAAAAAUUAGCUUUUGAUUAGUUUUCUCUUAAAAUGGACAAAAAUCCUAUACAAAAUUGUGCUUAAAAUUGAACAAAUUCUUAAGGCAUUACAAUAGGGUUUUAAUAUUCCUUUUUGAGACCAAUGCUCUUGAUUCCACAUUUUUAGUAUGUUGAUUAAGGUUGUCCUUUAGCCUAAUUAGGAAUGGCAUGUUCCUUAUUUCGUAGUGUUAGAUUCUUGUUUUCUCUUGUUUAAUGCUUUCUUAAUUAUUGAUUAUUAUUUUAUUGAUUGUGCAUCCGCAUUAUCGCUUUACAUGUUAUUGGAUAGGUUUAAAAUCAAUCUAGACUAUUUGAGAAAUGAACAAGAUUAGGUACCAAAAUUGCACUGGUUGAUCAAUUGGUAUAACUAAGUCUUUGACCCUAAAUUCUUUAAUUUUGUAAGAAGUGAGAUACAAUCACAUGUCUCACUUGAUUUAUAGUCAAUCCUAAUAUGUUAGUGAUGACUCAUUAUGUGGAAAUCAGUAUGGGAUUAAUUGAAUCAAAAUCGAAUAUCCUCACAAGGGGUAUAGGCUUGUGAGUGCAUGUGUUUAAAACUAGGGUUAGGCAAUACCUCUAAAUCUAUCUUCCUCCCUAUCAAGGGGUAAGUCACGAUAGUUAUAGUAGGUAUAGUUUGAGAUUUUUAUAUCAAAAACGAAGUUUAAGGUAAAUGUGUCAUAAUAAACUUAAUUUAAAAGUUUUUGUGACUUUUUUUCUUAGUACAAGGCAUGAGAAAUUAUGUACGCUUGAUUUUGCAGCAUGCUAGUAGAAGUCAAUCCUUUCUCGAGUCAUCUCAAGAUCAGUACGUACCCCAUGGUCAUGAGGAGAAAAUAUUGGGAGAAAAUGGAGAAAAUAUUGGGUACGUUUGGUGCUCCAGCGUGGCAAACAAGAAGGCGAUAAGAAGGCGACACGUGUCCUCGUGGGGCCCACAAUUCGGACUUGACUGAACAGGACAUGAGGCGCCAUUUUGAAAAAUUUGCACUCCUGUAGCUGCAGCAAAAGGACGAACGGUAGGGUUUUUUUUUUUUUUUUUUCUGCAAGUUGUCUUUCCGCUGCAGACCCUCUACUUUCUUCACGCCUCUCCUCUCCCUUCCUUCCGUAAAUUCAAAAUUUCAGGUUCGCUCUCUCUCCAGCGCUCGUGCUCGUGCUCAUGCUCCCGUCGACGUCCACCACAAGCUCGCUCGACCUCACCUCCAUCUUCACCGUCACUCUCGGCCUCUCCCUCGCUCCCGCUCUCCCUCCUUCGAUCUUCCCCCCGCCCCGCGCUGCCAUUCCGUUCGAGAACUCGAACCUCUCGAAGUUGGUGUUCCGGAGGACGGUCUCCUCAACCGGCGACGCGGUUGAGGGAGCUGAGAAGGAGGCCGCGAUGGAGUAGUUGAGGGACUUGACGUCGACGAGGCGAAGCCUCAGCUCGGGGCUCUUGACGCAGAGAAGAUGGGUGUGGAGGAUGCAUUGAAGAAAUCUGAGGAGAAGGCAAAGGAGAUGGAGUCGAAGCUGGUUGAAUUGCAGAGGCAGUUGGAACAGGCAGAGAAGGUGAUCAGUGGAUUGAAAGACAAGACGGCUGAGACCAUCAAUGGGAGGAGAGAGAUCCUCGACGCGAUUGAAGAAAAAGGGCCUAAACUGCAAUGGCCAGUCGUGGCAGCAGGGUCCACGGGAGCCAUUGUUGUGGCAGCCGCUGUGGCCUAUGUUUGCUACAGUAGGCGCCGAACCUAGGAUUCAGUGAAAGAAUGAGCAAGCAAGGAGGAAACGGGAGAGAGAAAAACAAAGAGCCUUAGAGUUUUCGAACUACUCUAUGUUUCAGUUUUGUUAGAUGCUACAGAUUUUCUUGGCUUUGUUUUUUAGCCUACGAAUUAACUCUAUUCUGGUUUUUGGGGGGUGUCGUUGUUUGUUUGAUAUCAUAUAUGGUCUGUCUAGAAGCUAGGGUGCGUUUGUUUGUGUUUCUGUUUAAAAAUUGUUCCAGGGAACAGAAAUAGAAAAAAGUGUUUUUGUUCCGGAGAACAAUUUUUGAACAAAAAAACGCGUUUGGUAAACUUGUUCUGGGAAUAAAAAAUAAAUAGAAACAUGUUUAGUAAAUUUGAAUAAUUUUUUUAUUUUUUCUAUUUUUUCCUUUUUUUCUUUUUCAUUUUUCAUUUUUCUUCUUUUGGCCGGCGAGGCCGAGCUCGCCUAGCGGCGGGCGAGGCGCGGCCUUGCUGGGCCACCGCCAGGCGACGCCGACUCGCCUAGAUCCAGCGAGGCCGAGGCUCGCCGGCCGCUAGGCGAGCUCGACCUCGCCGGAUCUGGGCGAGAUCGAGCUCGCCCAGGCCGGCGCGAGGUCGGCCUCGCCGGAUCUGGGUGAGAUCGCCCAGGCGACGCCGACCUGGCGGUGGCUCGGCGAGGCCGAGGCUCGCCGGCCGUUGGGCGAGCUCGGCCUCGCCGGAUCUGGGCGAGCUCGAGCUCGCUCAGCCAUGGCGAGGCCGACCCUUGCCCAGCUACGGCAAGCCUCGGCCUCGCCAUGGCUGGGCGAGGCCGCCGGCCAAAAGAAAAAAGAACAAAAAAAUAAAAGAAAAAAAAGGUAUUUCUCAAAAGUGUUUCUUGUUUUUGUUUCUUUUUUGUUCUUGGGAACAAAAAAACAAAAAAAAGUGUUUAAAAACAAAAAAAAAGAAUACAAACAAACACGCCCUAAAUUGCCGUUAAAAGCUAUUGAGUUAAGUAAAGUUUCCCUGACUUCCAUGGCAUUAUUUCUGCGGUUUUUGGAUAUGUUGGUUUGAUGCUCUACUUAAGCAUGUAUAGGGCUCCGGUCUGAGCUUUUCGAGGAAUCAUCCCUCGUGAGGGUUGGGGAAAUCAAGUUAUAUCCUGACGCAGGCAUGACAGCCAUAGUCAGCUCAUUUCCCACCCAGGACCUUCCUUCGGGAUCAAUCUUUCUUAAGUUGGUGGAACGUGAUAGUUGUCUAAACCUAAGAACCAUCAGCACCAUUACAGUUCGUUACGCACCAGGUUUCAUGCUUCGAAGGACAUGGCCUUCCAUUUGCAGAAACACACCUUCCUCAUCAAGAAAUUUGGUAGUAAGUUCAUUCAGGUUGUCAUCGGUUUGAUGAACCUGCGAAUGUCUUGUGCCCAGUGUGCGCAUAGCCCAUUUGCUUUCGCCAUCGCUGGGAGCCUGCAAGUGGCGGUUAAUUUGCAAAGACACUCCUGAACCUUGGAGUAUCAGAUUGCAUUGAAUUCGUUCGUGUUUUUCGUUGGAACUCGUCAGAUGCCGCAUUUCACAUUCGGGUUAAAAUCAUCUAGUCUCUUCCAUCACAUUCAGCUACCAAAAAUCUGAAAAGGGAGAGCACUAAAUUUUGCAGGGAAAGAAUGCAGGAAUAUAUAAUGUUCUGUUUUGUAAAGCUCUUUGAUUAGCACUGACGAGAUAACAACUCUUAAAAUCAUUUAAAACAAACAAGAGGAAGAACAUCAUCAACAUCUCCAGCAGCUUCGACCUCGCCGCCCGUUUCUCAGGAAAAUCACCAAUUCUGGGACUCAUCAAGUAGCACAUGCUCGCGAGCCGUCGCGGGGAUCUGUGCUGAUCGGAUUCUCUCCGAAUUUUCUGUAACGAGAAAUGAAACAGCACGCCUCGACCUGUCUGAGACAUCGUGCGAAAGCCGAUGGGAUAAACACACACGAUCCAUUUGGUCCCGCACGUCCGACCGGCAAAGACCUCGGACGACGACACAGGAACACAUCAACCCCCUAGCGAGUGACCCGUAUUCUCUCGCAUUCACUUUAACUCCGACUUUCGCGAUGCCUAAAGAAGAUCCGACCAACCCAAACGUGCCCUCCAGACCCCGCCUCCGGAGGACGACGUGGAGCUCGCCCACUUCGCCAAGCCACCACCUCGCCGCAACCAGAGGGGCAGCAGCAGCAAGUGCUUCGUCUAUGCCCUCACCCAUAUCGUCAUCCUCCGCACCGCCUUCCUCGGGUUCGCCCUCACCGUUUGCGUCAAGAGCCCCGAGCUUAGGCUUCGCCGCGUCGACGUCGAGUCCCUCGACUACUCCACCGCGGCCUCCUUCUUGGCUCCCUCGACCGCGUCGCCGGUUGGGGAGGUCGUCCUCCAGAGCACCAGCUUCGAGGGGUUCGAGUUCUCGAAUGGAACGGCAGCGCGGGGCGGGGGGAAGAUCGAAGGAGGGAGAGCGGGAGCGAGGGAGAGGCCGAGAGCGACGGUGAAGAUGGAGGUGAGGUCGAGCGAGCUUGCGGCGGACGUCGACGGGAGCAGGUUUUUUUUUUUUAUUUUCCAGAAAGAGAGCGAACCUGAAAUUUUUAAUUUUCGGAAGGAAAGGAGAGGGGAGGAGGGAAGAAAGUAGAGGGUCUCCACCGGAAAGACAACUUGCAGACAAAAAAAAAAAAAAAAAAAAACCCUACCGUUCGUCCUUUUGCUGCAGCUAUAGGAGUGAAAAAUUUUCAAAAUGGCGCCUCACGUCCUGUUCAGUCAAGUCCGAAUUGUGGGCCCCACGAGGACACGUGUCGCCUUCUUAUCGCCUUCUUGUUUGCCACGCUGGAGCACCAGACGUACCCAAUAUUUUCUCCAUCGUCAUGCGUAAAUUCAACAUUUGAGGUUGGCACGAAAUACCAACAAUUUGAAAAGAAAUCAUUAUCACAAAUGGAUAUGUAGUUGAUGACUUGACCACCUCAUAUUAUAUUUCUACUUUCGUCUUUUCACUAUCCAAAGAACUUUAGCAAGUGCUUCGUCUUUUCACUAUUCAAAGGACCACGUCAUCCGUGCUCUGAUCCAUUCACGCGUCGACACCUGUCCGCUGGCAGGUCCACGUCGGCUCCCUCUUCUCUCUCACGUCGUUUUAAUUUAAACCAACGCGCAGGCAUUUAAAAAACCGGAAAGGGAAUUCUCUCUCCUCUGUCUUCUCUCUCCUCUUUACUCCCUCUUCCUCCUACGACGCUCCUUCCGGUCUAGCGAUUCCUCCGACGACCGUCGCUCCCUCCCGACGACGGCCUUUCUCUCUCCACUCGACGGCCUCAUCUCAGCAGGGCUCCAUUCUCUCGGCGCACUUCCUCCUAAAUCACGCUCUCUCCCGACGGCCGAUUUCGCUCGCCUCUCUCCGUCCCCCGACUCGCGACCGAGAAGCAAUCGCUCCGCCCUGCUCGAAGCAGUCGCUCGAGAAGCCCUAAAUCUGCGACCGCAAGUCAGGUUCGAUUUUAUUUCCCGAGUUUUUAUGUUCGCAUCUUUGUUUUGGGGGUGAAAGCUUGGCCUAAAUCUGCGAUCAGAAGUUCACUGGUUUAUUGCUUCUGAUUCUAAGCGCAGCAACGCGAGAAGUGAAACUGUGACUGUCUGUCUCUCUACCCUUGUCCGGUUUUUCCGUUCUUGGCAAAUCCGAAGAUGAGCCCACUUCUGGAUACAUGAUCUUAGGCCGACCCGUCAAGUCGAAGCCCGACGUAAUCUCGCUGCUUCGCUCCACCGAGCUGUUGAAUCGCUUGUGUCCGGGGGGUUUCAAGAUUUUCCGGGGAGGCAAUCGCCUGUUCCGUCAUUGCAGACUUCCAGGCGAGAAGAAAUGUGCCCACAAUAAUCACCCCAACACCGAACCGCCUCCUUUGUCCUCUCUCGGUAUGUCGUCAUCCCUUCUCCGCUUUCGUUUUUUCAUUCGUCGUUUGGUUUCAGGAAGUGGUGGGGAUGUUAUAAGUAAAAGAAAGGAAUCGGGCCGUGAGGUUUCGCCUGAAUUGUGAGAGAUUAACGCGGGAGUGGUCGACCCCACGUCCCGUAUAUGGCGAACGGUAUGAUUUUUGAAUGAAAGCGGGUUCGCAUGAGCUAUGAGCGUUGGUGGGGAACGAGCAAGAAAGUGGGUUUUGCUGAAAAUUUUGAUCUUGUUGAAGUUGGAUUUAAGGGUAGGGAUUUUCUUGGAUUUUGGGCUCUCUCCGUCUUUCUUGGUCGCGCGAGCACGAUCUUAUGCGUGGAAAUACUUGUGUUGAUCCGUUCUUUUCUUUCAGUGGGACUUUGAUUGUGUAUUUUCCCUUUGGAAAUUGUGACUGGACUUUCGAUUAUAUGUCCCUCCGCAAGCUGAACUGUGGACCCAAUUUUGCCGCACGAAGUGGACUUUUAGAUCAGGCUGCCGUAACAAAAUCAUACAUGGGUAUCUAUCUGUCUCGAUUAUUGACAAGUUGGGAGUCACGGCAUUUCUGUUUGUUGAAAGCUAGUUAAUCUUAGAUGCUGUUUGUCAAGAAAAAUUAUAGGAAGAGUAGACACUGAACUAAUGUGACUCUUUUGAUGAACUGAACACAUGGGGUAGCUGAUAUUACUUGAGAUCUCUUGGAAUAGUUGGUGGGUGUAUCUAGAUUCAUGAACACCCUGGAAUUGAAUUAAACGGUUGCAUUUCUUCUAUUGAUAAGCAUUUUCUGCUCCUCUGCUCAUGCUUUGUGUCUGACUUUAGUGUCCAUUUUUCUUGUUUUCUCAUUCUCUUUUUUGGUUUUGCCGUAAAGGGAAUUAGUCGAAUUGCUUGUCAUCAAUGAUUGCGGUUAACCUUUUGACCUUGUUUUUGCUCACACUCUAUCUUGAGUUAGUUUAUCUUUUUAAUUCUGUCGGUCUUACUGAGUUCAUGGGACUUGGUGGUUCAAAGAUUUUAAUCUUAUAAUUUUGUCAAUUUUGAUUGUUUAUAUGGGUUCGUGCGUUGUGCAAUAUUAUCUGAGAAGGCCAUGCCAGAAUGGUUAAAUGGUUUAUUUGUACGGAUUUGUCACCUAAUUGCACCUUUAUGAUUCAGCACUUUUCGUUACUCCUUUCCAUGUGCUGCACGAAAAGCUUUUUUGACUUUGGUUCCGUUUAGCUAUUUUAACUUUCUCAGUAUAAGCAAAGUAUCAAAACUAACGUGUUUACUUCUUAAUAGUGCUUGCAUUCAAUUGUUACUUGGGUCACUUAUGUGAGAAUUUAGUGAGCAUGGCAAUAAUUGGCUUUCAUUUGAUUCCACUGUGGAAGUACUCCAUUUAGGAUGUCAUGGCAUAUUUGCUUCUUUUGACAAAGAGGAUCACUACUCUAGAGCGUCCUUGCCAAAUGAAUCUUUCAUAUGGUGCAUGAUCAGAAAAAUUUCGUUCAUGCUGUAGUUAUAUUGGAUUCAUAGCUUUUAGGCCGAUACUGAGAGUUCUUUGCCCAUCAUAUAUGCCAGGUGCAUAAUUUUGCAAAAUGCACGAUCAGUUUUAAAUCAUCGUUAUUUUUUCUCUCUGUAGAAAGCAAUCUUUGUUAUGGAUUGAUGAAGGCAUGAGUUGAAGAAAUCCUUGUUGUCCCAACUGCUCAACAGUGCUUCCAUGGAUGGCAAAAGUUCAUCUGAGUGAGCCUUCCCUGGUUCUGGAUUAUUUAGUAUUUGGCAAAAUUCAAGCAAGUUAAGCCAUCCCUCUUGCAUGGUAUUCACCUUCGACAGUAGCAUUUUGCAAGUUUUGGUCCACUUUCUCAUCAUUUUUGUUGGGCAUUCAUAUGGUUUAUGCUUUUCAGGUAUCAUUAAAGCGGCUCCAGAGUUACCUGCUCACUUGGGAAAAAAUAUGGAGGAAGUUGUUUCUUUGAGAUGCUUGGAGGAGUUAUGUGGCCCUAGAAAUGGAAGCAUGAACAGUACUUGGUCCUCAUUGGGAUCAGAGGCGAAGAUUGAUACAUCAAAGAGCUGCAAAAAUGUCCGACAGUAAAUGUUCCAUAAUGUGAGUUCUAAUAAAUGAUGCAGUGAAAAUGUGUUUUAUUUUCUUCAUGACAUCUUUCCACUGGUUCUGUUCUAAUGAUUGCUGAAGUUUGGUGUCUAUUCCCCUGUUUAUGAAUUUGUUAUAUGUUAGGGCUCUGCAUCUGAUCUUGAAGUAACUGCAAAUGAGUUUUUGAAAUGGGACCUUCACUCAUUUUUAACGCACAAGAGAACCUCUGCCAAAAACUGCUCUAGAGGAGGUAAGCAGAUCUUUCAUCCAGUGCUGUCUAUCUUCAUGAUAUCCUCUUUCAUUCAGGUUUAAAUUGGUUUUUUUCUUGUUUUUUGGCAGCUGAAAGAUACAAUACUUGCAGGUACCCAUCCACAUGCUGAUUCUAAAAAAAAGAGGGUAGAUUGGCAGAUGUUUGUCAUUUGAAUAGGACCGUCAUUCAUAAUGGUGGACAUACUGGACUUACAUGUGCGCCUGAUGUGGGAGACACAUACGCUCCUAACACAGUUGAUGAACCAAACUUGGUUUCUCGAUCCACCAAUCAUGUGGAGCCCUUGGUAGGAGAUGACGGUAUUAGGAAGUGUCUUCCCACGAAGAGGAACCAUAUUGAUGUUCACGCUGAAAAUGUUGAAAGGAAUUGUAAUGAGGAUCAACAUCAUGAUGCUCAUUCAGAUGCUAAAAGGGCCAAACAGCAAGAUUCUGAUGAAAUAAAGGACAAAGAAGAAUCACCAGUUGUUCUAACUGGAAGAUUAGGUUUCGAGAGAAAUGAUGGAUGUUCUGAUAGAGAGGUGGCUAACCUUGUCAAGGAUCAUAUGGGGGCUGUGGAUGACGACCAGUCGUUAGAGGGAGAUGGGAGGCAUUAUGUUCAGCCAAGGACUUGUGACGUACUUUGCGAUGGAAUGGAGUGGGGGUUUUCCGUUGAUGAUCCCAAACGCGUCCAUGACUCCAUAGAGAAAACAAAGAACAGUGAAUCAGCUCGAGCAUCGGAAUGGGGGCAGACUUUUACCAGUCAUGCAGAAGAUUACGUGGUCCACGUUGUCGGGGAGGAUAUGUCCAGUGAUGGUGAUGAAUAUAGAAAAGAGCAGACAGGAUCCUAUAACAUUAAUGUUUUCAAAAACACAUUUUGGUGAUUUAUAUGAUCUGAUUUACAUGAUCUGAUGUCCGGGAUUUGAGGAUUCAUGAUGUUUUCUUUACAAAAAAGCAAUAACUUGUUAGUACUGUCUCGUCAAUAAUCAUUCAUGUUGUCUCAUCAAUAACUUUUUAUACAUUAGUUGCUGAAUAAUUUUGAUGUUCACUUUCUUGCCUAAAUUCUUCUCCAAUUUGCUGUUCUUCGAGGAGUGCAAAUGAUACGUUGUUGAUUACUUACCUAGCCAUGCUCGCCAAUUGCUCAAGGUAUGAACAAACUCUUGAAUUAUUUACUUUUGACAUAUUUUGAGUAUGUCCAGAGUCAUGAUUUAGGAUGAAAAUAUUGCUCUAGACCAUCUUCUGGGUGAUAAUGCUUGAGGAUUGUGUAUAUAAAUCAAACCACACAAGUCAUGUGCUUGAAAGCUUAUCCGAUUCCGUGGCGGCGAGUGCCACGAAAAUGAACUAAGAGACAUUGUUUUCGUCAGCAGGCACAAUUUUCCAUAAUUGGCAAAAAAUAAGCACAUACAACAAUCACUCAAAUUAUCACUAAAACAUGCAGCAAAAUUGGAAGACACCAUAAGUUAAUUUCUGAUGUUCCCGUCCCGUGCAUGGGGAGCUUAUAAACUAGUUUCAUCUUCAUAAUAAGCCUAUAGAUGACAUGAGUCCAUGAAAGCAACCGUUCGCAACUAAAUUGGAGGAUACAUCCCAUUCCAAAAAGAUCCAGAUAAGGUUCACAAGAAUUGAUCCCGACACACCUUUACAUUGACAUGAUAACUCAUAUAAAGAAGAGUUCUUUCUUUAGCCAAAGGGAAACUAUCAAAAAGAUGCUAAGUAUCAACAAUUUGGCAUGGAGUGUCAGCAGGAUUGACUCGGGGUCCAUGCCAAGCAUAUCGAAGCUCUGGGGCUAAAUCGGGGUUGAUCAUUGUAACUCUUUUCAUUGUCUCUCCAACACAAAGACACUGACCAAUCUGUUAUAAACAAGCAGGUAGAGCACAAAGCGGUGGCGGUGGCGGUGGCGGUGGUGGCGACAGCGGCGGCCAAGUAGGACCCUCCACUUUUUGCUCAGUGUAUGAAAAGCGACACAUUAAAUAAAUACAAUCAGUAGUCUUGCUUACUGGGGCAUUCAGAUGCCCUGUGCCCCGCACGCCCAUAUACAAAGCACGAUCCUCCGAAGCUCCUGUCAUGACACAAUGCCAUAUCAGUGAGAUUUACAUGGCCAUGUCAAGUAUGUCAUUGGUGAUUGAAAAGAAAUAUAUUUGCUAAACGAUGGAGGAUAAUGUAUCAAAUCUCCAACACAAGUCUGCAAUGCUACAUCAAUUCCAUAUGUACCAAGAGCGGACAAAAUUGCUUAGGGAAUACUCGCAAGAUUUGCAUAGGCAGAAAGAUAUACCUGUCCCUCGAAGAUGGCCUACUGGAUCGCCUACCACCUAUAAGCCAAUCAUUAUCAUUGUUUCUUGGGGGCGACUCCAGCUAUUUUCAAUUCUGGAACCGCGGCCACCACGUCUUAAUAGACCAACAUCAUCAUCAGCAUCACGACCACUGCCCCAACUUUGGUACAAUCUCGAUCCUCUCCGGUCUCUAAGACUUGGCCGACGACUCCUGUCUCUGCUAGAAAAUCUACCAUAGAAAUCACUAGGGGGCCCAUCAUCUUGCAGAGCAGGUAACUGUCAAUAUAAAAGAAAAGUGAAUUAGCUCUGAAAAUGCAAUUAGCACCAAAACUGACGCUAUGGCAAUAUCUAAGCAUGGAAGCAACUGCAUUUAUGUGAACCAUCGUAAUCUCAACCCUAUGAGGUAUGUUGAGCCCUCACACAACCUUGGAAAUUCUUGUAAUAGUGUUCCCAGGUGGUGUUGGCUGACUCAGCAACUCCUUUGCAAUCUCCUCAGGAAGAUCAAAAACCGCCACUUGAACCUGUCAUUGGCACCAUAAACUAUAUGAAAAAAAUGUACAACCAAGAACGAAACUAUAGUGGGAAAAUUUAUAAAGGUAGUGCUCUGGUUUGGUAGAUACACUUUCAUCUGCAACCAAAUAUAUCUUCCCCAGUUCAUCUGCCGCCGGAGAAUAGACAUCAGAUAGAAAUCCAGUGACGGAUCGGGCAGAAAGGAAACCUCUAGAAUAAGAUGGAUCCCGAGUCAAUUGCAGUGUAACCCAACCCUACAACGCAUUUGUCCAGUAGAAUAUUAUAAGAUACAGCAGCAGGCACAAUUUUCCAUAAUCUCCAAUUACCAGUUAAUCAGCAGAAACAUACAAAAACCAUGUUCUGAAAGAUCAAUUGGUAUCAGUGGCUAUAUAAAUGCACUUUCUCAAAAUUUGACAGCACAUAGGAUCAACAAAUUAUUUUCCCAACAUAAAUGGUCCAUGCUCCAAUAAGCAACCACUUAUUUUCCUAAAUCUUGAAAUGAAUCUUUAAAAGUUAGGGUUAUAGAAGCACAUAUGACUAACAAAAUUGCCACAGAUGUCUCUAAUUUACCUGCUCAUGAUUUGUAAGAGACCGAGAUGUAGGAGGUUGCGAAAAACCACUCAAAUGAGCCAAAGCAUCAGCUAGAGCAUUUACACCUUGCUCUUCAAUUAGUUUUUGUGCUGUUGGAGUGAAAAACCCUACAGACUUAGGAUGAACCACUUUGAGGGUCGCAACAACUUGCUUAGCGGAUGACUCCAAAACUUCAUGCAUUGCUGGAGGGCUAAUAAACUCAAAUGUGCAACCUACACCUCACUCAAUGGAUCUGACAGUUCUCCUUUGACUACUUGUAUACAUCAAGAUAGCCAUUCCUUCUUUCCCGGCGCGUCCAGUACGAACAGACCGAUGGACAAAAGUCUCUGAAUCAUUUGGCAGUUCAUAGUGGAUGACCUGGCAUUAGGAGUUGCAUACUCUUGUUAAUCUUAUACACGUAGCUUUUUGAGAGGACUAACUAAUCGUGCAGGUAAACAAACAUAAAAAACUAAAUAACCUACGAGAUCAACAUUAGGGAUAUCCAACCCAUGAGAUGCAACAUCAGUAACAACAAGAACAGUGAACUUCCCCUGCCGGAAACCAUUAAGAGUUCUCUCCCUCUGAUUCUGAGAGAUAUCCCCAUGCAAUGCUUCAGAGGCAAUGAUACUCGUUAAUGCCAUUGACACCUCAUCUGCAUCUCUUUUAUUCUGUGUGAAAACAAUGGUCUUCCCACCUUUCGCAUACACGUAAGAUAGAUAUACAAAAAGGUCAUUUAUCUAGUAAAAGCACAAUCUAUUAAAGCCUACCAUAAAGCAUGUAGGCAAGAACAAAAUCAAAGCCUUCUUCCACUAAGCAGGAAGAAUCUUAAGAAACAGCAUGAUAGAAAAAUUCAGGACAUAUGCCUAAUGGGAGACAUCCAUAUGCAAAUGUUAGCGAAUCAAAUAAGCAUCUUGAUUGGGGAAAAAGAUAUCAAGUAUGAGGGAAGCAUCUCCUACCGUGAUGAGAUCACUUAGAAUGGUACACUUUGAAGUUGGAGUUGCUGAUAUGGCAUAAAUUUUAAUUCCCUCUGCGAGUUUUUCAUCUUGUUCUCCAACCUACAUCAGGAAAAUAAAGAGCAGGCAAACCACAUAAGCCAUCACAUGACAUUUUGAUGAGCCACACUCCUCCAUUUAUACGACUGUACUAUGCAAAAAUUCAGGCCUAUACCCAAUAUCGGAUCAUGCAAGAAGUUUGGGCAGACGGAGACAGAGAGAUUGUUAUUGAGAGAAGAACUUUACCAAGUCAAUCGUCAAAGGAUUGUUCAAGUGCUUUCUCGCCAGUUUCUUCACCCAACCAGGCAUUGUGGCAGAGAAAAGCAUGCUCUGUCGCUGUGAGGGAAGCUUUUCCAAGAUCACUUCCACAUCUUCCUCAAAACCAACGGCAAGCAUCUGAUCAACUUCAUCAAGUACCAAAAAUUCCACUUCUCCCAAUUUAAGGCUAUUACCGUUGAUCAAAUCAAUGAUUCAACCAGGAGUCCUGACUACAUCGAACCCCUGGGAAAGGACACUUUGUUGGGUAAUGUAAGAAACUCCACCAUAAACACACACGGUGUUUAAGUAAGGUGUAGAUUCCUUAAUUUCUUUCUCUACUUGUUUUGCUAAUUCCCUUGUUGGUGCUAAGGCCAAAACUCUAGGAAGUCGCCCACAUCUAAGAGACAUUUACUUUAUAAUCUGUCAUUAGAAAAAUGCUCAAACAUUGGAGGUCACCAAGAUAAUUAAAAUUAUUACUCAAAUACCUCGGACUUCUAUGUUCAUCACCAUCAGUAAGACGCUUCAGUAUGGAAUCCCGAAAGCUAAAGUCUUCCCCGUUCCAGUCUUCGCAUGAGCAAUUAAAUCACACCCUUCAAGCGCAGGGGUUAACACUGCUCUAACAAUCACAGAAUAGUACAAGGAACAUGAGUUUGCCAUUGAAAUCAUGAUGAAACUUUAGUAGAGUGAACAAUGAAGGGGGAAAAGUAAUGAGUGAUGGGUGAACUAUCCUAGUGCUGGCAAAAGUAAAGAAACCAAAUAUCGAGUCGAUUAAAAAAACGAAUUCUGCCUGUGUAAAGCCCUAGUCCCAACAACAUCUUAGUGUUGAACAGCUCAAUUUUCAGCAUAGGAUAGUCAUCUAAUGUAAGCUACGACAGAACAUCCCAGAAUACCUAUUAUGAUUGCCUGCACUUAACUCCAUCCGUGGUUCGCCUAGCACAUUAACAAAGGUCAAGGUUUUCUACUUAAUUUUCCAGCCAACUAAGUAUGCUCAAACAAAGAAAAACUCAGCCAGCAAUAAACAACAGCAAUUCAUACCAAAGCGAAAAAAUUGGAUAACACAGGGGAAGGAAACAAAGGAUAAAGCAUACUUGAAUGGGAAAGAGAUGGGUAAUGCCACGUUUCUCAAGAAAUUCCACGAGCCUCUGAGGCAAACCCAGCUUGGAGACAGCAAGCUCGUCCUCGCUCACACUCUCAGCCUCGCGGCCCUCAGACACGAAGCCGCCUUCAUCCUCACUCGCGUCAACCUCGCUCUCCGAGAACCCACCGGUCCCCAAAUUCUUGAAAGCCUCCUCGCUCAGCACCGAGUUCGGCGUGGCGAUGGCAGACGUCACGAAGCUGCUCAGGCUCCUCCUAAGGCCGCACCUUUUCACGCACCCACUUUCUAAAAGCCCAAAGGGUCUUCGGACAUGGCACUCGCUGGACGAACAGAGCAAGGAAUUGAAGUGGGGCUUCUCGGAAAACGACAGAGAAACCACGGCACCAGCCGAGCGAUUGCUUCUCGGUCGCGAGUCGGGGGACGGAGAGAGGCGAGCGAAAUCGGCCGUCGGGAGAGAGCGCGAUUUAGGAAGAAGAUCGCCGAGAGAAUGAAGCCCUGCUGAGAUGAGGCCGUCGAGUGGAGAGAGAAAGGCCGUCGUCGGGAGGGAGCGACGGUCGUCGGAGGAAUCGCUAGACCAGAAGGAGCGUCGGAGGAGGAAGAGAGAGCAAAGAGGAGAGAGAAGACAAAGGAGAGAGAAUUCCCUUUCCGGUUUUUUAAAUGCCCGUGCGUUGGUUUAAAUUAGAACGACGUGAGAGAGAAGAGGGAGCCGACGUGGACCUGCCAGCGGACAGGUGUCGACGCGUGAAUGGAUCAGAGCACGGAUGACGUGGUCCUUUGAGGGUACCUAAUAUUUUCUCUGUCAGAAGCACCAUCAAGCUAAGAGCAGCACUUUCUGUCUCGAGUGCCCCGCCGAAAUCAUCUUUUUACUUGGAAAAUACAUCCAAACAACUUUAAUAAUGUGAUGGGACAACACAAAUCCUGUCCGCAUCAACAAAGGUGAUUCACGUGGGGUUUGCAUUCCUUGUUCUUCCAUCGACUUUAAUAAUGUGAUGGGACAACACAAGUCUUUUCCAUUAUUAAAGCUUAAAGAAUCUGGACAAAAGGAUUGCUUUCUUCACGUGGGAUCGUACAUUUUGUCAGUAAAUAUAGAUUUUAUCUCCAUUGUAAAGAUUUUUCAUAUCUAGGUAAUAUUCUCGUCUAUUCCUCUUAAUUGUGGAAUAUCGGAUUUUGUUAAUUUGAAAACAAAGUCCAUAGAUUCAUAUUUCUUCAAGUUAACCCAAAAAAAGGGGCAACAUUUUUUAUUAAUAUCAUCAGUAAUUGACAAGUUCAGUCGACCUCAUGAAUGAAGGUUAGCACAUACUUAGGGUACCUUCUUUUAACUGAGGGGCUCCACAACUUUCAAUAAAUGUAAUUUAUUGUACCUUAGUCCUGUGAACUACUGUGCUAAGCUGUAAUUCGUGCUACUUGUCAAACGCACAAAAUUUGUAAGAGUCCAUCUUCCAAAUUUCAUGCCCACGCCGAAGACUCUACUCGCUCAAAAUGUUCGUACCUCUCUCAAACAUGUGGAUGAAAUUGUAGGAGUUGAGCCUAUAAUUGUCAGUCCUUAAAAAGUAGUAGAGACUGCUUUCCUGCUUCCCCUACAUGACCAUCAACACACCUGUUAAAACCUUUAAAGUUUGAGGGGAUGUACGAUAAAUCAAAAUUUUUAUUUUAGAAAUAAUUUUUUUUAUUUUAGAUCUAUUUUUGAAAUAUAAAUUCUUAUUUUAUUUUUUUAUUUUUAAUAUAAAUUUAUAUUCCAUAAAUAAAUUUGGAACAGAAAUCAAAAGCAAAAUUUUUUUACUUCUCUAUUUCUUGAACAGAAAUGAGAAAUAAAUUUUUUUUUCAUAGUUCGUCAAUUGGUCAUUCAUUCGUUGCCGUUGACCACUGUCUAUUGGUCGCCGCCCGCCCGCCAGCCCCCGCCGUCGGUCGCCAGUCACCGUCCGCUAGCCGCUGCCACCACCACCGUCUGUCACCACUAUCCGCCACCAUCCAAAGGAAUAAACUUUGUUUCGUUACCAAACAAAUUUCUAUUUUUAGAGUAGAAAUUUUGUGUCGUUAUCAAACAGUAAUUUUUGCUUAGAAACUAUUUUAGAAAUAUAAAUAUAAAAAUAUAUUUCUGUUCCAUAAACUAUUUCUGAAACAGAAUAAUUGUCAUGCACGCCUAAAGAGUCUGAAAUAAAUUGACAUCCCCAAUAGAUUAAUAUUCUGAAAGUCAAUCCUUAUGUGAUGUCCUGUGAUAUGUGAAUUUAUAAUUCAUAAUCCACUUCUCUCCAGUCGAACUGAUAGUCCCGCUCAAAACAUACGACUCCUCCCUUUGCCCCAGGGAACAUUCAUGUCGCUCUCCAAUCUCUCUACUUUCUUUAGCUAUGGACAAUCCACAUGCAAUGUGCCCCUCUUUUUUAUAGUCGUAACAUCUUAACGACUUUUUCAUUGCUUUAAACUUCAAUCUAGACUGGUGUUUAUAAUAAGAACCCAUCUUUUUAAGUUUUUGCCUUUGACCUGCAAGCCAUCAAUGCCACUUCUACGUUCGUUGCCCUACAACUUCUUCUAUCAUUCUUUUGGAAAAUUGUGCAAAAUUCACUUCCUCUCAUUAGAUAACCACCAAAUUACUCAUAAGAAUUGGAUAAAGAAUAAAGCAAUAUCAUAGUUUGCCAUUAGUUAGAUAUCUUCUCAUUCACAUUGCUCAGAAUAUUGAUGACUUUAUUUAACUCAUUUAGGUGAUCCUAGAUUAACAUUCUUGUAUCAUCUUGGAGUAAAUAACCGUUGAAUCAAGAAAAGUUUCUUCAAGAGAGAUUUUAAUAUGUACAACACUUCAAGUUUUGCACCAACUACAUCUACACUUGUCAAUUUUAUCUCUUCAACCAAAACAUUAUCCCAUAGAUUCAGUUGUGUUAUACACUAAGUAGCACGGACACGUGACACGAUACGACAUGACAUGCCGACACGUCAUUUUUAAAAAAUGGAGAAUUCUAAAAACGUAUGACAUGUUAUAUAUUAAAUGAAUAUUUUUAUUUUUAAUUAAUUUGAUUCAAAUUUAAAAAGAGCUUACAAUGAAUUUGCACUAAUAAUAUUAAUAAAUGUAUUCAUAGGAAAUUUGAAAGACAUAUUAAUAGUUAAUGCGUAUCCAUAUUUGAGAACAUAUUUCUAACUUUAGCGAAAAAUUAUAGAUGAAACUAAUGACUAAUAAAAAAUUAUAAUUAACUUAUUUAAAAAAAAUUAUGAUCUUCUAUAAUAAUUAAAAUUUAUCAUUAUUUAACUUUUAGUAUUUUAAUUGUUGAAAAUUAUUUUUAGCUAAUUUAUUUAUUUUUUUAACAAAUAUAACAUCACCGUCCAAAAAUUAUUUUCCUCCCUUUUUUUCCCAAACCCUUAUUCCCCAAAAUUUAUUUCUCUCCCUCAUUCCUCUCUACUCCGAAGGAGCACAUCGGAACGGCAGCCAGAUCUCUUUCCUUUCAUGUGCAAUUUUGUCAUUUUGCGACGGAUGGUGAAAGAGUGACGAUGGAAGACAAGUUGAGAGAGAGAGAGGCUUCAAUGCUAUUUCUUGAAUUCAAGAUAUGAUUCAAGGACGUAGGUGGACUCACUUUAGGGCGCGUUUGGUAACGAUUUUGUUCUCGGGAACUGAUUCUGACCAGAAAUGAUUAUUUCUGAUUCUGUUCCCGGGAACUGAUUCUGAGUAAAAAACCGCGUUUGGUAACAAAUAAAAUUUCUGAUUCUGGAAUAGAAGAAGAAUAGAAACGCGUUUGGUAACUAUAUAAAAUUUAUAUUCCAAUUUUUUUUUAAUUACCUUUUUAGAUUAAAAUAAAUUUGAUAUUGAAUUUUCAUAAAUCAUUCACUGAUUAAUUAUAUUUUUAUACUAAGUAAUAAAAAUAUUAACUAAUCAAUUUUUAUUAUAUAGUAAAUAAUAAACCAUAGUAUAAACUAUACUAAUAUCCCUACAAUAUGUAAUAAAUAAAAAUACUAAAUUAUAACAUAAAAUUAAAUAUGUAUUCUAUAUACAACAAAUAUAUAUUUCAUACUAGGAAGAAAUAAAAAUAAAAUAUAGAAAUAAAAAAAAAUUUGAUUCGGCACUUUUGAUUCUCGGACGGAGAAUCAUAUUUUUUCUGAUUCUGAAUUCUUGUCCAAAACUGAUUCUGGGAGUAAAUUUGUUCCCAGAAUCAGUUUUGGACAAAAAAUUUACCAAACGCGAUUCUGUUCCCAAAUUGAUUCUGGGAACAAAAAAUCAGAAUUAUGCGCUGUUUGGAUGGUUGCCGAACAGGGCCUUAGUGAGAGGAAUAAGAGAUUCUCUCUCAGAGCGCAUUGGGAACUUCCCGAUCUUGGCCUCCACGCUUGUUCGCAAUAAAUAGAAGACAGAGAGCUUUUCACUCCCGUCUCUUGCAGUGCACUGGGAUGGAGGACGGAGGGUGCGUUGAGAACAAGCUCCGCUUGUUUCUCCUCACCCCCACCUCACCUGUUGCGACGCCAUUAUAGCUCUCUCUCUCUCUCUCUCUCUCUCUCAAAUGGAGAGGUCAGCUCUGCUACUGAUUUUGUGUGCGUGGAUUGCUCCUCUGGUUCCGGGAGUAAUGCUGCAGGUUCAAGCCCAGCCAGGUCUCUCUCUCUCUCUCUCUCUCUCUCUCUCAAAACCUUAUAAGCUAACUGAGACACCAAUCAGUAAACCAUCUCCCGUCUUACCUCCUGGGAAAAUAACUAUAAUAUCAAGACUUUGUUUGAUUCAUAGGAAAAAAAUUUCCGAAAAACAUUUUUUGGAUUUUCGGGGUUCGGGGUUCAUUUCACAAAAAAUAAACUAGUUUUUUUUUAGCAAAAAAAAUAUAAACUAGUUAAGAAAAACGUUUUCCGCUAUUGAAAAAAAUAUUUUCAAAACUAGGGAAAAUGCUUUUCACUUUUCAGAAAGUAGAAAAUAUUUUUCUUAACUUCUUCCAUCUUAUUUUCUCCAAACACAUUUUCCUUUUAUUUCUUAUAUUUUAUUUAAAAAAAAUCGAAUUUUUAGUUUUUUUCUUUUUUUCUUCCCUUUUCUUUUUCGAUUGCCAGCCAUAGUGGCGGUUGGUGAUCGGCCAUCGGUGAGCUUCGGUCUUGCCUCAAGCUGGCGAGGUAGAUCCGACAAGCUAGGCUAGGCUUGGGCCUUGCCCAAGGUCGCCAAAGCCUCGCUAACCUUGCUAACCUCUAGUGGGGCUCGAGCCCCACCUAGCUCACCAGAUUUAGCUAGGCCCGAGCUCGUCAAACCUCGGGUGAGUUCGAGCCUCACCUAGUCCAACGAGGCACAAGCCGGUAAGAUUCCAACUUCGCCGGAAUCUACAGAGCUCCAGCUUCGUCAGUUGUCGUCGUAGUCGACGACAACCAAGGCCAAGGAAUAAGAAGAAAUAUAGAAAGAAAAGGAAAAAAGAAUAUGAAAGGAAAAAAAUUAAAAUUAAAAAAUCGAUAAUAAAAUUUAUUAAAAAUGAGUGUACGCAGGAAAAGAUUUUUCUUACUGAAUGAUAGAAAAUAUUUUCUAGUUCUUUUUCAAAUUUUAGCUGGAUAUCAGAAAAUAUGGUAAUUUUCCUAAAACUGGUUUCAUAAGUUUUUUUUUUCGAAAACACUAUUUUUCGUAAAACGAACGGAGCUUAAUUAUAACUUUGUUCACGUUGAUUUAGGUAAACAUAUACCAAAUUUAUGAACCCCUGUAACAGGUUUCAUGACCUUCAUAUGGUUGAGCCGUUAAGAGAUCUAGAAUAUAUCAUCUGCCGUGCAACUACAACAAAUGAAAGACACGACUCAACAUUCAAGAAAUAAUAGGUUUACAUGUAGGAAAAAUUGAGAAAUAAUAAAUUUCACGUAGAUCGCAUGUGAAAAUAAAUAAUACAAGUUUUUAUGACAUGAUUGAUUUUGUCUAUCGUAUUACUAAUUGGAUUAGCCAUCACCCAUCGAUCUAGUCCUUUCCAUAUUGGGAUAGUGUAUUUUGAAUCUUUCAUACGAGCUCGAAAGGCGGUAAUUUGUAACAUUUGGUACAGAAGAAUCAGUUUAAAAGAAUAACGACGGGAGGGCACUGCACCAACAAAUCAACAUAUGAACUUACAUCAAUUCCUUUCUUUCAUAUCUCUUUUCCUCUCUCCCUUCUCUUUCUUCGUUGAAGCUGGAGCCUGGUUGCGGCCUGUGAGCCUUAGCACAUCCUCAGCCUUAUCACCUCUCUCUCUCUCUGCGCGUAUGCUUAGAGACGGGUCAUGGCGGGGCCAGAUCUGACUCCAUAGAUGAAGAGAAAUAGAGAGAGACGUGUUUUAAAGUUAGGAUAUUUGAAUCUUGAUAAGUUUUUAAAGUAAUUUCAUAUGUUGAUAAUCAAGAAUAAUAACUUGAAUGGACGUCACCUGUCUCUCGGUUGCCGGGCAACAGCAAAACCUUUUUUUUUUCUUUUUCUUUUUUCCCAUUUUCCUCGAAAAUGGCAUAUGGAAAGAGAUAGAUAGAUGUUUUGAAUCUUGAUAAGUUUUUAAAUUAAUUUCAUACGUUUAUAAUCAAGAAUGAUACCAUGAAAGAACGUCACCUGUCUCUCCACUUCCCGGGAGCAACGAAACCUUUUUUUCAUAUUCCUUGAAACGGUGAUUACAAAGGAAAUGUAUUGCCUCAAUCUGCUGGAACCAUCAUUGCAUUCGCCAUGCGGGGGAAUGUUCAAUCAUUCCUUUUCAAUCUCACAAAUCAAGAGAAAAAUACAUUUACCCCAUUUAAUAUGACAUUAUACUCUAAAGAACAAUAAUAAUAGAUAUCAACAAAAUAACUUAAAUUAUUUAUAGUUAUUAUGAUGCAUAUUAAUUCAUUCCAAUUUGAGAAUGAUGUCUGUAAACUUUUAUAAUUAUUAUAUCCACAAUGCUUUCCCCAGUACCCAACAAAUAACUUUAUUAAUCACAUUUCGUUUUUUAAAAGCAACUGGUGAGAUUAGAGUCCUACUUGCAACCAAUUCUAUCUAUAUCUCCAAAACUUUUUUCUUCCGUUCAUCAUAUCAAUCACAACAAACAACACAUUAUAUUACUUGUGAUGUGGCUCUUCAUUUGAAAGAAAUGCUGGAUUGCUCUUUUUAUAUCCCAGAAUGAAGCGAGCCUAAAAUUUGACUAAUAAAAAAAAUGGUCUUUUCUGUUCCGGAAAAUAAAUAAAUAUCUUGUGAACUGGUCUCAUAAACCAUUUCUUGGAAAAUGGAACAUUUAACACUAUUUCUUGGAAAGCUCAUAAUUCCCAACAACUAUUUAUUCCAUUCUUGGUUUCUGUGUGUCAAGGUUUCAUAAGUAUCGACUGUGGAGUAUCAAAUGCAUACAAAAACACCAGGCUCAACAACAUGUCCUUUGACUGGGACAAUGGAUACAUAGACUCUGGAGAGAAUAAGCAGAUAUCCACAGAGUAUAUCUAUGCUCAAUAUGGUCCUAUGUAUAAGAAUUUAAGGAGUUUUCCUAAUGGAACAAGGAACUGCUACACCAUAAGGCCGGACAAAGGCAAGAACAACACAUACUUGAUUAGGACAUCAUUUUUGUAUGGGAACUAUGAUGAGAAGAACCUACACCCUAUAUUCGACCUCUACAUUGACGUUAAUUAUUGGGCCACAGUUGAUGCUUCCGAGUAUGUGGAAGAAGAAAUUCUCUAUGUGCCCCAAAGGGAUGAAAUACAAGUGUGCCUCAUAAAUAUUGGUAAAGGAGUGCCCUUCAUUUCGGCUUUGUUACUUAGAACUUUGAACAAUUCUAUUUAUCAAAUUCAAUCAGGAUUUUUAAGGCUUAAUGUCAGAUAUGACAUCGGAAGGUUAAGCUCGACCAUCAGGUGAGUUUUUUUUUUUCCUUUCUUUUUUUGUUGAAAAGAAUGAAUAAAUGUUAGCCCAUGUCACCUUUCUUGCUACAAGGAAUUGUGUGUGGAGAUAAGCGAGAAAACUUAUAUAGUGAAAAGAAAAAAACGUAAAGGGUUAAAGGUUUGGUCGAGAAAUAUUUGAAUUUAACUUUAAAAAGAGUAAAGAGAUUUAACAUACAUUACUGUUGUUAUGCAUAUUAGUUCUGAAUUAUAAUUUUGAACACGGAAUUUUUUAGUAAAAGCUAGAGAUCAAAGAUAUUUUCGGAUUUACGUCCUUUAGAUGCAUUGGAGAUCAAUGAAAGGCCUUCAUCUUUUGUCAUAUUCUUUAAGGGUGCUCAAGUCUUAUAAAAAAUCUCUGUUCAUACGUAUAUACUAUUGACAAAAAAGGGCAAUUUAUUUUGCGGGUGCUCUAUUUUAAACUAUAUACUUAAAAUUAAAUGAGUUUCUCUACCCAGAGAGGCCGAUGAGUCAGAAUAGUGGGUGUUUUUAAGGAGCCUUAUAGAACAGAUUCCAAACCUUUAAUGACCCUCGAAUCAAGAAAAUAGUAAAUCUCGCUUAUUUUAAAGUCCUCAUAUUUUUGUGUUUUACAAAACGAAUUAAAAGGCAGGAAGUUAUGACCAAUUACUACCGGAGGAUUUGUCGGCCGCGACCUAGAACUCCUUGCGUGUCAGUUUUCUGGGGGUGAAUCAUUAAGUACUAGGGACUUCUUUUUUAGGUAGUAAAAAGUUACGGGGAGUGAUAAUUGAGCGAAUAAUCAAAGAUCAGAGGCCAAGUUAGAGAAAAUUCCUCGGAAUUGGAUUAAUGGCAAGUUGCAUUUGAACAAGAAAUAAGAGCAUCGCAACAUAAGUAGUACAAGUACAAUAGGUGUUGUAGUGGAGACGCUUCAUUGGCAUAAGAACAUGCUACCUGGGACACCGCAUUGGCAUCACAUGAAUUGUUUGUCAAAAUGUUCCACCCAGGUACCCGUACGAUGUCUAUGAUCGCAUCUGGAAAAAUUGGACAUUGCCUGACUUGGAUACAUUCGAACCUGGGACGUCCACCUCUGAUAAAUCCAACAACAGUGAUGCCUAUAAGGUUCCAUGGGAAGUCCUCAGGACAGCUCAAAUGGCGAGUGACAUUGACCCUAGCUUCGUCUUUAAUUGUACGCCGUACAACUCAACGUCUAAAUGUAUUGGGUACUUCCAUUUUGCCGAAACCCAAAGCUUGNNNNNNNNNNNNNNNNNNNNNNNNNNNNNNNNNNNNNNNNNNNNNNNNNNNNNNNNNNNNNNNNNNNNNNNNNNNNNNNNNNNNNNNNNNNNNNNNNNNNUUUUUUCAAUGCAACGAUGAGCCGGACUAGACGUCCACUGCCACCGAUUAUCAAUGCCUUAGAGACAUUUUCUAUUCAAGAACUUCCGAAUUUACCAACAGCCCAAGAUGAUGGUAAUCUUUCAUUCUCCUACAUGCUCUUGUGCUAGUGCUACCAUAACUAAUGUGAAGUACAGCCAUGGCAUGAACAGCAUAUAAACAGUUUUGGCAAACUUGGCUUUGGUAUUAGAUUGCUGAAUUGAAAGGAAGAGAAACCAAGUUUUGAAAGUAAUCAUUUGUUUAAUAGGUAUAUAUUCCAUUAACACUCUAGAGAUUAGAAGAGUACACUCGCUUUUCUAGGGCACUCUAAAAUUUCUAGGACUCCUUAUACGCAAACUCUAGGAAGCUAAUUUCUAAUACUCACUUACCCCGGUUGCUCCAUUGAAAGGGGGCUUGCGAAUUUAUAGGAGAUGGAUGAGGAUUUUUAGACAUAAUGUUAUAAAACUGUGGUUUCGUGGUAAGGAUAAGCUAAGUUUUUUGCGGUCAUUUAAAGUGCAGGGUAGAAAUCUGUGGUGAAAAAUUAGUUAUAGAUAGUUGUGGACCAAAAAAAUCUGGAGGAGUUAGUGAAAGAGUUUUCUUCGAGUGAGAUUUGAAUUAUUAAAGUCGUUGAUUAACUGGCUAUUCCUUGCUCAGCAUAGAGUUUUACAGUAAAAUCCCUUCAAAUUGCACAUGGAAGUUGUUUUCACCAAUUCCAUAAUGUUACCAUUCUUUAGCGAGGGAAAGAUGAAAUUCAAUGCAUGACUUUGAUCUGCUCGAAAUCCCCAUCUUUCUAUCAUCCUUCUCUUAAAGCAAACCGAUCUUGUUGCGUUCUAAACUACAGCCAAAGUUCUCAAGGACACCAAGGAAAAGUAUGACAUAAAAAAAGAUAGCUGGCAAGGUGAUCCAUGUGUACCAAGCAAAUUUGCGUGGUAUGGUGUGACUUGUAGCAAAGGAGAUCAUCCGAGGGUUAUUUCAUUGUAAGUCUCCUUGCACUAUUUCUUGUAGGACAAGGCUUUCCUCAUCUUCUUGAGAAAUUGGAAGUUCGUUCUUCUAUAUGACUACAUUAAUCUAUGAAAACUCCUUCAUCAGUUGUGCGCUUCUCAAUUUUACUAUUAGGUAACAUUGUGUUCUCUACAGUUGAGUGCACAAACAUUUAUGUAUCAAACCAACAUUACCGCCUUUGUGAACACGGCAAUGACACAGCUUCCUCUCAUGUGAUUGAUUAUGGGCAGGAACUUGAGCUCUAGCAAUUUGAGGGGCGACAUACAUUCUUCACUAUCACAUCUAUCGGAAUUGAAGGCCUUGUAAGUAUUAGCCCAGUAAGGCCCUUAUUGAGGUGAUGGUGUUUUAGGAUUGAGUGACUUUAGACCUUCGUUGUAUCAAUCUUGCGUUUAAAUGUCUGCCUAGGACAAAAUUGAAAAAAAGGCAUCACAAUGGUGAUUUAAGUAGUGUUUUCAACUUUAAAUUUCCAUGGUGGUCAACUUUUGUUGGGAGGAUUUAGGUAGUGUCUUAAUGGCGCAAAUUUUAUAAUUUAUGUUUGAAUGUGUUGGGUCAUCCUAGUUUUUGCUAGAGACCUUAUUCUGAAGAAAAAGUUAUUUCGAAGGCUUCAAGAGAGAGCCUUUGCAGGAGGAAGUUCAUGUGGAGCAUCGAUUUUAAAGCAGUGGAAUGAUAUUUUUGGCCUCUUUGGCUCAAAACAUUUGUUGUUUUUCUUAUUCAUAAUUUCAAAAUUUCAGAUGAGAUAUAUUGAAUUGUUAGCUACCCAGACUUGCUUAUGUUUCAGAGAUCUAUCCAACAAUGAACUUAUAGGAGCCAUACCGGAAACAUUGGCAAAUUUGCCGAAGUUGAGAAUUUUGUAAGUAAAUGUGCCUUAGUGGCGCCCUGAAGAAUUGACAGAGCAUGAGUCUUUAUACAUGGUUAUGCUUUGCAGGAAUCUAAGCGGAAACAAGCUAAAUGGUUCAAUUCCUAAGGCUCUUAAAAGGAGGGUUAAGGACAAAAAAUUGGUCUUGAGGUCUCUCUCUCUCUCUCUCUCUCUCUCUCACACUCACAUAGAGCAUUCUAACAUGUUUUAUUGUGAUUCAAAGCAAGUAAGAAGGCCGCUUGUGAUCAACAUGUAGGCAAAGCAGUUCGAUAAACGUAACUCUACCUACUUACCUUUUGUCGCAGUACUAAAGACAAUCCCGAUCUUUGCCGGGCAAGUCCUUGCACAAAGAAUAAAAGCUCCAUCUUGGUCCCAGUUAUUGCAUCGGUUUCAGGCGUAGUCGUCAUUAUCUGUUUGGUCACUAUUUGGUUGAUUAGAAGGAAACAGAUAAGAGGUAACUUAUUUUUCGACUUCUCGUCCACAGCAUAGUUACAUGAAAAUACAAUUGUCUCUGAUUAGUCUAAUGCUCCCCAAGGAUUGAUGACCAUCAAAGUGAUUGUAUCUUAGCAUAUGGAGAGCUAGGUGCCAAAAUUUCAAUCCUUGCCUGGAUUUUCACUCCCCAUAGGUUGACUUUUGUAGUACCAAUUGGAGUUAUCUUAGGGAGAUUUUCCUUUGAAGUCUACUUGGAAAUCUUCAAAAGGUUGAGUCUAUUACUCAUUGGUAAUAUAUUGGUUAUUUAUUGAAGGAAUGGUGAGAUUAAGAUCUUUCAAUUAUGGUGAGAUCACAAGGAUCACUGGAAACUUUGGAACAGAGAUUGGUGUAGGAGGAUUUGGGAAAGUAUAUCUUGGCACUCUAGAGAAUGGAACCAAAGUUGCAGUGAAGAUGCUCUCGGAAAAAUCAUGGCAAGGGGACAGGGAAUUUCAAGCUGAGGUACAAUGCAAUAAGAUGCUUAUUUAUAGACUUGCUUCCAAACAAUUGUCAAUAAAAAUUGUGGUAAAGGACACUUACGACAUUGCAGGAGAAACAAUUAAUGAUCGUUCACCAUGCAAACUUGGUUUCUCUACAUGGAUAUUGUGAUCACUCUAAAAACAAGGCAUUAGUUUAUGAAUACAUGGCUAAUGGAAACUUGCAACAGCACUUACACGGUACUUUAUCAUGUUUUCUUGUAUAAUUUUUUUCUCUAGAAUACACCUGCGAAUAUCUGUUUCUUUCUCAUAUAUAAUAAGAAAAUACGCUAAUUUGAUAGGGGACAAGCCAGUCUUAACUUGGAAACAGAGACUUCGCAUCAUUGUAGAUGUAGCAAAAGGUACUUCAAGGAUAUGCCCCAGUGUUGUUUGUUCCCCUCCUUUUUUGAAUGAUUAAAUGGAUCUUUUGCAAGAAUUGCAGGUUUGGAGUAUCUCCAUAAUGGAUGCAACCCGCCCAUUAUCCAUAGAGACUUAAAAGCGACAAACAUCCUGUUGAAUGAAAAAAUGCAAGCGAAAAUAUCUGACUUUGGUCUCUCAAGAACAUUUACAGCUGAGACUGAUGCUCAUGUGUCAACUCGUGCUGGCACUCCUGGCUACCUCGACCUUGAUACUCAUGUAUCAACUCGUGAUGUUGGCACUCUUGGCUACCUCGACCUUGAUACUCAUGUAUCAACUCGUGAUGUUGGCACUCUUGGCUACCUCGACCCUGAGUAAGGGCUUAAACUUAAUCUCAUUAAUAUGCUAUAUGGUCUUUGUAUGGAUAGAAAAUCUAGCUCUCCCUGAGAUUGCAUUGAAGACUCAUGUACUUGUAAGUAGCGUAUACAACUUUACUGAAGAAAAGUUCAGCGUUGACAAAUGACUCUAGAGUCCAAAAAGCAAUAUAUUAAGACCUGGCAAAUUUAUCCUCGGUUGUGUUCUCAUAUGUCCUGCAGGUACCAUUCGACUAUAAGCUUAAACAAGAAAAGUGAUGUUUUCACUCUUGGAAUCAUACUCCUUGAGCUAAUCACGGGACAUCCGGCAAUGAUGACGAAGCAAGAAGGAAAUGUGCAUAUACUUGAUUGGGCGAAUUCCCUUAUUGAAAGUAAAAAUUUGCAGAAGAUCAUGGAUCCAAAGUUAAAAGGAGAAUACGACAGCACAUCGGCUUGGAAAGCGAUACGGGUCGCAGAGUCUUGUACAAAACCAACUGGAGAUCAAAGGCCUGACAUAGAUCAUGUAUUGGCAGAAUUGAAGGAUUGUUUGAAAACAGCACCGGAACCCGAAAAAAGUCCAGAAGAUGGGAAGCAAAAUGAGAAAGUCUAGUUCUUUCGAAAGGACCUCCUCAAGAGUUCAUUCAACCAGUAAUUCCCUUGGAAGAGCGUUGGGUAUUUAAUGCAUGUGAAUUUGUUGCCAAAUUUCUGCAGCCGUCAAAAUUGAACUCAAGCGUGGUUCACAUUUCAAAUUUAUAUUUAUGUGUCAAUUUGGAUAUUCAGAAGUUGUUCUUGUCUCUAGUGAUUCUAUUAUUCUAUGAAUAGGUCCUUGAUAGAAACAUGAGUAUUCGCAGCUUUUGUCAUUCAUGGGAGGAACUAUGUACUUGAGGAGACUCAUCUAUGUUGGAUUUGGAUUUGGUCACUCUAAACUAGAGUCUCGCUUGUUGUUAUUGCUUUAUGGUGGAUAUAUUCUCAGGGAUCAUUUCACGAGAUGAGAGGUGAAACAACUCAACACGGACUUUCUCCCUCUCCCCACCCCAAAUACACUAUUAUUUAGAAGGCCAUAAGAGUGUUGCGACCUCUUCGAACCCUUUCGCAAGCACUUGGUUAAUGGCCUGCUAAGUCUAAGCUUAGCCCAUGCUCUCUCAAGCCCAUUGAUUCACAACUUAUAGUCCAAAUAUUUUAAUACGAAUAUUUUAACCUGUAAUUUAAUUUCAUUUAGGAGUCGUCAUUAAUUAAUUUGUGAUGGGUCAAUUAAAAAUUCAAGUAGAAUAGCGGAAGAAAUAUUGUACUUGUGCACAACUAAUUACGCUUGUGAAUCAACUGAUACCAUUUUGGUAUCUAAUCUCUUUUGGGAUUCCAAUCCAUGCUUCAUAAUGGCAUAAUUGAGAUAAAGGAAGUUUGCAAACAGCAAUCCAUUUGCUUUCGCAUACUUAAGCACAAUUUCUCUUCUUUUUUUUGGUUUACUUUUGAGGAUUUUCGCAUAUCUUAAGAAAAAACCACUCAUAGAUUAUUUUUAGGCUUUUUCUGAUUUUUUUUUUGGAAAAAUAAAAAUUUUCUGGGAUUUUUCUGAUUCUUUUAUUUUUAUAAAUUUUUUUAAAAUAAUAAUAUAAUAUAAAUUGACUCGGGUCGAUGAGACCCGCGUGCCGGCCUGAUUCGGCCCGACCCGGGUUCGCGAAUCCGAAUGGCCAGAGAGAAGAGGGCCGCCUUUUGUCCUCUCUCAUUUUCAUUUUAUUCCCUUUUUUAUUUUUUAUUUAUUUAUUUUUAUCUCUCUCUCCCUGCACGAACCAAUCCACGGCAGCCCGGUCUGGCAAGCCCGAAACAGGGCGUGGGCACAAAAACAGGGGCGGUUGGCCCAGAGUCCCUACCCGGCUUGCGGCGUCGGACGGCGGACGAGCUCGAAGACCGGACUACGUCCAGCCGCCUCGCGCGCCUCUGAGCCGAGAUCCUUGGGCAACCGACCUCGAGUCCUGGCAAUUAAAGAACGACGGGAGACGAAGCACCACCCUCCGUAGGUUGAUUCGGAAAGGGGGAGGGCGAACGCCGGUCAGCCCCUGGCCGUACUAGUCGCCGGAGGACGCCCAACUUCUCCUCGGCUUUCUCUCGCCGCUCACCCCUUCGAUCUCCUCCGUCUCCCCCCUCCCAUUCUCUCUCGCCGAAAGCUCCUAUUUAUAGGCCGAGAAGGCUUCGGCCGCAAUGUGCAGCCAAAGAAAAAGGGCAUCUCUGUUGCCCCAAUCAUUGCAUCAGUUGCGGCCGUUCUGGUCUUGAUUUCAUUGGGAGCUCUUGAAGUAUUGUGGAUAAUCAAAAGAAGACAAAUCCAAGGUGACUUUCUUGCGUAUUGCAUGUGCAAGAAAAAUCGAAAGUUUUAAAUGGGAUUUUAUCAGUCCAGGUCAUGUUUUGAACCCCAUAUAGUUUUCAAGAACAUAUAAAAAAAAAUUCUCAUGAAGUGGUCCAAAAAAUUGAAUUUUGCAAAUCCUUAGAGUUUGAAUUUAUUUCCACACUAAUACCAGAACCUCCGAAACUCACUUUCCAGCAAUUUUUAUCGUAAUCAUGGACCAAUUUAGCAUUCGAAUCAGUGGAUACAUUUUUAGACAUGUAAAAAUUAAUUUAAUUUCGAAAAUUUUCCAUAUACACUACUAUAUUUGUUUAAAAAUACUUUAAAAUUCCGAAAUUUGCCCCAAUAUUAUAAUACGAAAAAGAACGAUGGGAGACGAAGCACCGCCCACCGUAGGUUGGUUCGGAAAGGGGGGAGGGCGAACGCCGGUGAGCCCCUAGCCGUAUUCGUCGCCGGAGGACGCUCGCUCACUCUCAAUUUCUCACUUGGCUUUCUCUCACCGCUCACACCACCCACCCCCACAAAAAAAAUAUUCUCUCUCACCGAAGACCGGUCGGGGGAGGCGCUUUGGCCACUAAUCCUUGGAGCGCCGACCGGCGUCACAUCACCCGUCGCCUCCAUCGCCGCCUGCUCCUGCUCUGCUCUGCUGACGCAGCGUACCCGGUGGCUGAAGGAAGGAGAGGAGAGGAGAGGGCAGAGAAGGCCAGGCCGGGCCGGGGUAGAUGGGCGAGAUUGGGCCUCAGCCCGAAUGGGGAAAGGAGGGGAAAGGGGGCUGGGGCGAAGGCCCAGCCCUUCAGCCCUCGCAGGCUCUCUCUCUUUUAAAAAAAUAAUAAUAAUGUUUUAAAAAAAUAGUUUUAUCUAUCCAAAAUGCAGUAAAAAUAAUGGAAAUUAAAAUUAAAAUAAAAUUUAGUUGAUGAAAGUAAUAUUAGUGCCCAUAUGAUGUGAAGAUCCUUUUUCGUUAGGGUCGAAUUAAUCCCUCAUUUUUUUAAUGAAAUUUAAUCAUAAACUUAGCCAAAAUUUAUGUGUCAAUAUAUAGAAGUCAAUGAUGAUAGAAAAAAAAGCCACAACAAACUCUAAACUAUGUCCAUCAUGACAGAUUUAUUUUAAACUUUUUUUUUGUGAUAUACUCACUGUGACACAUUUAUUCUAAAAAAUUUUGCGUGACAAAAAAAACCCUAAAUUUAUACUUAUGUAACACAUUUACAGAGUUUUCAUUAUGUUAAUUGAUGGAACCUUAACAAACUGUAAAUGUGUCAUACAGGUAUAAGUUUAUGAUUUUUCAUGUCACAAAAAAAAAUUAAGGUAAAUAUGUCACAAUGGCAUAAUUUGGGAUUUUUGUGUGGCUUUUGUCCAUGAUAAUAAUGGGAAUUACAUCAACUUUUUUCACCUUUUCUCUCUCGCGCAGAGAGCUUUUCUCUCUACCCAGGGUAGAGCUUUCCCCUUUUUUCCCCCUCAAAUGGCCGAUUGCACUGUUGGAACCCUAAAACCCCCAUGAUGCUGGAUUUGCUGCUCCUCCCCGAUGGAUAUGCGGGCACUCCAGACCUGGUAUACAAACCCUAACCCCAAACCUUCUUUCCUCCCAUCAAUGACACCAUGAACCCACUCACGAACAACCACCACAUUACCUUCUCCCCUGUCCACGGUACCGUAAACCCUAAGUCCCUCCCAAGUAGAUCGCACAGUAAUCCCAAGCCAACCUACUACACAUUCACAGAGCCCCCUUCAAUCUAACCCCAAAUCUUCACCCAUUUACCCCAAAACAUACACGGAAUCAGCAAAUCCGAAAACAAUAGGAAGCAAAGUGCAACGACCCAGUCUUCAACAUAUACAAUCCAGUGAAGGACAACGACCCAAACUCAACUCAGCGCAGGCAAAGAGAAUAGGCGACAUCCUGCAAAUUGGAGCAAUGGAAGGUGAGAACGAAAAUGACCUAAGACUAUCAGCAUUAUGUAAGAGCUUAGGACACCUCUGGGCAGAAAGUGAUGUGGUCGAAGUCUCAACUGAAAUCCCUCCAAAUAAAAUGCAAGAAUGUAAUCUUACUCUAUUUGGGAAGUUGUUCUCCAAGCCAAAUGUAAACUUCCAAGCUUUUACUACUGUAAUGAAGAAGGCAUGGAAAACUGAGUCUGUUGUUUGCCUGCAAAAAGAGCCAGGAUUAUUUUCCUUUGUGUUUCAAUCUGAAGAAGAAAAGGAGAGAGUUAAGAAAACAGGACCAUGGUCCUUUGCAAGCAAUUUGUUAGUGCUGAAACAAUGUGACCCAGAGGUUCCAGAACACUGUUAUGACUAUACUCGUUGUGCCUUCUGGAUUCAAAUGAGAGGGAUCCCCCCAGGAUGGUUUAGAGAGGAAGUGGUGGCCGGAUUGGCUAAAAGAGUGGGCCGAGUUGUCGAGAUACAAAUGGAGACUAGUGGAAGUGGCCCACAAAAGGCAGGAAAGGUGAGAGUAGAAAUGGAGUUGAAUUCACCUUUAAAAUCGGGAGCAAUAUUGGAUAUAGGGAAGAAGAAGCUAUGGGUGGAGUUUAAGUACGAACGACUGCCACAUUACUGUUACACAUGCGGGAGAAUUGGGCAUUAUGCCACUGAUUGUGAGGAAAUUCCCUAUGAGCAAACCAAAUGGGCAGAAAAUAAGACAGGGAAGUACGGACCUUGGUUAAAGGCGGAAGUUUGUGAUCACAGCCCCCAUUGGAAAGCAUUUUAUGGCCAGCUUGAAAAAAAUUCAGAUCUGGAAGAAAUAAUUCCUGAAACGCCUGUAGCAGAAAAUAGUAUGGGAGAAGAGGUUAGAAAAGAAGAGGAGACGCGAGCUUCCAUAGUACGCGGAAAGAAAAGGGCAGAAUGUUAUCCGGAUAACAACAAAAACGAAGGCUCGGCAACAGACAUCAGUGAGAAAGACAAAGGGAAGCAGAUUAUGUGCAUUGAUUUCCCUAAAGAGAACUUUCAGGGGGAGGUAAGAAACAGCAAGAAAGGCUUGAAGACUCAGAAAGCAAAAAAACAGAAAAAAGAAGUAGAGAACACCAUUCUGCUUAUGGAUGAAACAGAGCUUCUGGAUACCCCUGUUCAGAUAGUCAAGGAGGGGAACGAUUGGGCUUUGGUGGCUAGCCCUAAUAAGCCACCAAAGACGUCAUGAAAAUCAUAAGCUGGAACUGUCAGGGGCUAGGCAAUCCCCUGACGUUCCAAGAGCUGAGAGCUCUAGUUGCUCUCGAAAGGCCUACCAUGGUCUUCUUAAUGGAGACCAAGAACAAGGAGUCGAAGGUUGAGGGCGUUAUCAAACGCCUAAAAUUCCCAAAUAAAUUCCUCGAGAACCCGGAAGGAAUUGCAGGAGGACUAGCACUUAUGUGGAGUGCAGAGGUGGAUGUAAGAGUAAUUAACAGCACUAAAGCCUUCAUCGACGUGGAAUGCCAGGAUCCGAUAUGCGGUAGCCACAUGCGAAUCACCUUCCUAUAUGCACCUACAAAUUAUGGGGAGAGACUACUUUUAUGGCAGAAAUUAAGAGAGAUACGGUCACAGAACCUACUUCCAUGGAUAUGUAUGGGGGAUUUUAAUGAAAUAUUAUACGCUUGGGAGAAGAUGGGAAAAAAGGAGGCUGACCACUAUAGAAUAGCAGCUUUUCGUGAGCUUUUGAACGAUUGUUCCCUAAUGGAUGUUGAUAGCAAAGGGUGUGCCUACACUUGGGCCAACAACAGAGCAGGAGCGGACUUGGUAAAAAAAAGAUUAGAUCGAGUAAUAUGUACCAUGGAAUGGCGGGUAACCUUCCCAAAUGCUGAAGUACAGGCGUUACCAGCUGUUGGUUCUGACCACAGCCCUCUUCUUCUUGCACUCCACCCUGAAAGCAAGAAAAGAAAAAAACAAUUCAGGUUCGAAGCUUUUUGGCUGGAAGAAACAGAAUGCAGGGAGAUAAUCAAACGAACAUGGACUGAAAACUCCUCAACAGAAAGCAGCUUUUUAGACAAAGUUCAAGAAGUGUCAAAGGAACUUGCAAAAUGGAGCCAAGAUAAGUUUCCUAAUGCUGCCCGUCGGAUAAGAGAACUGAAACAGACUUUAACAAAGUCAACAAAUAGACCUCCAGAAAGAUGUAGCAAGGAGGAAUCUCAGAAGGUUAAGGGCCAAAUAGAAAAGCUAUGGAGACAGGAAGAAAAAUACUGGGGGCUAAGGGCGCGCAUAAAUUGGCUCAAGUGGGGAGAUCAAAAUACAAAGUACUUCCACGCUACAACGGUACAAAGAAGGCAGCGAAACAGAAUUGUAAUGCUGAAAAUAAAUGAAGAAACGUGGUGCAGGGAGCCGAGCGUACUAAAGCAACAUAUCCAGGGCUUUUAUCAAACACUAUAUGAACUGUGGGUCCGAGGAACAUCCAGCCAGUCCUAAAUCAGUGCCCUAGUCCAGUAAAUGAGAUAAUUAAUGCUCACCUCCUGGAAAACGUGAGAAUGGAAGAAGUCGAAGAAGCGGUUUUCCAACUAGGAUCAACUAAAGCUCCGGGUCCAGAUGGUCUAAACGGGCAAUUUUAUCAGCACUUUUGGGAGGAAGUAAAGCAUGAAGCUAUCCAGCUAGUCCAAACUUUCUUUGAGACAGGUAUCAUCGAUCCCACCCUCAAUCAAACACAUAUCUCCCUAAUACCGAAGGUCAAAAAUCCAGAAAGCAUAACCCAAUUCAGACCUAUAAGCCUAUGUAAUUUCAGCUACAAAAUUAUUGCAAAAGUGAUGGCAAACAGAUUGAAGAGAUGGCUCCCAGAAAUUAUCACAUCCGAGCAGAGUGCAUUCGUGCAAGGUCGGCAAAUCCAAGACAAUAUAUUAAUAGUGCAGGAAGUUAUACACCAGCUCCAGAUCAAGAAGAGAAAAAAGAAGUUCCAAGCCAUUUUGAAACUUGAUAUGCAAAAAGCGUAUGAUAGGAUAGAGUGGGACUUUUUGGAGGCAUGCUUGCUGAAAAUGGGCUUUAAUACAAGAUGGGUUGGGCUGAUAAUGCAAUGCGUCACAACAACCAUUCUUAGUGUGAAAGUAAACGGGGAGCCAAUGCAAUUUUUCAGACCAUCAAGGGGACUAAGGCAAGGUGACCCUCUCUCACCUUAUCUUUUUAUCCUGGUAUCGAAUGUAUUAUCGUGGUUAAUGCAUAAGGCUAUGGCAGAUGGAAGCCUUACAGGAAUAACCUUGAAUAGACAUUGCCCUACCCUAUCACACCUACUUUUUGCCGAUGACGCUAUCUUCUUCCUUGAUGGGACUAUUUCAGAAUGCCAAAACUUAGCAGCUGUCCUAAACCAGUAUUGUUUUGCCACGGGUCAAGCAAUCAACCUCAACAAAUCAGGGGUUUGUUUUAGCAGGGGCUGUCCUCCAACUCUAAAAAGAAAUCUAGCGCAAGAACUUCGAGUGCCGAUCAUCGACAAAACAGGAAAGUAUCUCGGAGUCCCGACGGACUGGGGAAAAUCAAAAAAAGAAAUGUUCGCUUGGAUCCUAGCUCGGGUACACAUGAAGUUGGAAGGCUGGAAAGAGAAGAUCCUGUCCAAAGCAGGAAAAGAAACGCUGAUAAAAAGUGUUGUGCAAGCCCUGCCUCAAUAUGCAAUGUCGAUCUUUAAAAUACCCAUCUCAAUAUGCAAGGCAAUCGAACGAAGAAUUGCAUCUUUUUGGUGGAAACAAAACGACAAAAGGAGUGGUUUGCACUGGAAGAAAUGGGAAGUUUUGAAACUGAGGAAAGAUGAAGGAGGGCUUGGAUUCAGAGACUUGACAAAUUUUAACAAGGCAAUGUUGGGCAAACAAGCCUGGAGAUUAUCUCAAUCCCCCUCAGCCUUAUGGAGCAGAAUACUAAAAGGAGUCUACUUCCCCAACGGAGAUAUAUGGAAGGCAGGGAGAGGGCAGCGUCCCUCAUGGGGUUGGCAAAGCAUUCUUGUGGGGAGAGAAGCUAUUGAAAAGGAAGUGGAUUGGAAGGUAGGAAACGGCAAGCAAAUCAGAAUUCGAGAGGAUAAAUGGCUAGCAUAUGGAGUUAUAGGUGGGCCGGCAAACGAAAAUGACCCUAUAAUGGUGGCAGAACUUAUCAGCGAAGAAAGCAGAGCAUGGAAAGAAACAGAAGUUCAAAACCUAUUUGAAGACCGAGUCGCAAAUGAAAUCCUCUCCAUCCCUCUAAGCCCAAAUCAGCAGGAAGACAAUUUAGUAUGGAAAGGGAACAGGUCUGGAUUGUACACAGUAAAGAGCGGAUACAAUAAAGUGUGUGCGCAAACGUCAAAAACAGAACAAAGCAGAGCAUCAAGUUCAUACCAGCCCCCUCGAACACUAUGGACACAGCUAUGGAAGUUAUCUAUCCCCCCGAAGAUGCGCAUAUUUGCAUGGAGCAUAUGUCAAAAUGCAAUACCAACUAGAGAAAACCUCUACAAAAGACAGGUGUUACCUCACCCAAUCUGCUCGCUCUGCAACGCACAUCUGGAAACCACCGAGCACCUGUUCCUCCUCUGUAAGUGGACAAAGAAAAUAUGGACAGACCCAAGGAUUAAUCUCAUGUGUAAACCCACGCACAUAUCAAGGUUUGAUAAAUGGUUGAAGGAAAGCUUCGAAGGCAACUAUCACUCACCCGAAAAGGAAUUAGUGACGAUGGUUCUCUGGUUCAUAUGGAAAGCCCGCAAUAGCACCAUCUUCAGAGCAAAACCGCCAGAUCCGAACACAAUCGUUGAUCUCGCACAAGCAAACCUCCAAAAUUUCAGAAGAUGGCACAACACAAACGAAGCUAAGAAACCCAUAGACUUGCACUUACCGAGAAGAUGGAGACCGCCGGACAGAGGAACACUGAAACUCAACGUCGAUGGCUCGUGGGUGCCAGGAGAACCGGUCGGAUCUGUCGCCGGAAUACUGAGGAAUCACGCCGGACAGGUGGUGGACGGCUUCGUGAGCGAAACUCGAGCCUCUUCAUCCGUGCAGAUCGAAACCCUAGCGAUCUUGAAGGGGCUGGAGUUCCUGCAACUGAAAAAGCAGUCGCACGUGGAAGAAGCCGGAUCUGAACUAGUUGAAGCAGAGAAAGUGCAAUGUGAGUCUGACUGUUUGACUGCAGUGCAAAGCCUAAUGGGCUGGGCCGAACACCCCUGGAAUGUGCAGACCAUCCUUGACCAAUGCAACAAGAUCCUGGCCCAAUCAAGUGCGACGCAGGUGGUGUACUGCCCACGUGAAGCCAAUUCCGGUGCCGACUGGUUAGCGAAGGCUAACAGAACAAAAUCACUCCCUCAAAACUGGAUGUCUAAUCCUCCUCCAGCUCUUUCGGAAAUCUUAUGUUCGGAAUCUUACUUGUCGACUUCUUGUAUUUCUCGUUGUUAUGAAUGAAAGUAUCUACAUUUUCUGACCAAAAAAAAAAAAAAAAAAACCCCUCCGUGGCGGGCCUCAAAUCUUUUCACAAUCUUUGAUGGAAUGGAUCAAGUCAAACUAAGCCUGGAUCGAUGUUAGCCCUCAGCUAAAUCCUAACGAGUACUUGAGACACUCGAAAAGGCAAUAGAAGUGAUAUCUCUUCUAAUUGAUCUAUACGCGUUAGGUUAUGGACAUCUCAAUUAUUAUAAUCUUGUCUGUGAAUUUCCUUGUUCUGAUUUGUCUGAAUUCGACGCCUUCUAGAGUUUGUUAGGAACAUAAGGCAUGUCCUUGUCAUGACACAGCUGGGACAUUCUUAGUAGAAUGAGGGAUUCUUCAGAAUUAUGCAGUUGCCUUCGUUUAAUAUGCAUUAUCCGUGUUGACUUUGUACUGUAAUCGCUCAAUUAGUUGGUAGGCAGCAGGUCCAGCUGCGAGCUUCUUGCCUGUCCAAAAGGUGAUAAUCAAUUCUUGAUUCUUUAUUUGUUAGUUCCUAACUUCUAUUCUCUAUAACUGAGUUGACCAUUGGUGGAGAAAUCACUCCCCCACUACUAAUUUACAAGUGCACGUCUGGUCCAUGAACGCGCCCUCAUUAAAGUACUAACAUAUUCUUAUGAAUCUUGAAGACGUUGAUUUUCUUCUUCUUCGCCUUGAGAUGGUAAGAGCCCUCCUUUCCUCACUAGAGUGGAGAAACCGAUGUGAAGAGAGGUUUGAUAUUCCAUAAAGAUCAUGAAGAUGCUGCAUGUCUUGAUUGGUUGUCUAGCUCUAGCAGUCAUUGCUCGCGGGCAACAAAAUCCAGGUUCCCUCCCUCUCUCUCUCCCUCUCACGCUCGCACGCAUAGUGAUGAUUGAAUCGUGAAGAGUCGAUGCAUCAGAAAAUGGGAUUCUAGAAAUAGGCACAGUGAUGAUUUAAUAGCUAUUUUUCUUCUCGUUAGUGAUCAACCUUUCAAGCGUAAGUCGAAAAAACAGCGACACUAAAAUUUGAUAUAAAAAUCGAGCACUGGGUAAUUAGGUAGUAUCUUGUACUCCAACUUAGGAAUUUAGCAAAGUUAAGCCUGUUCAAGAGUCUCCAGGAAACAUUUCCAGAUUCUCCUAAUUAUUGGAGAGUUAGCAUGCAUCAUCCUCUAGCUUACGUUAUAUUUGCAGAUGACGUCUCUGUUUUCAAGCUUUUCAUGGACGCCUUAAUCAUCGUAAUAACCAUCAAAACUUCUUAAGUAACAAUUAUCAAGCCAAAUCUUGCACAUGUAAUUUUCAUUGCUGAAAUUUGUAUCUAGUUGAUACUGUUCUAAAGAAGUCAAAUAAAAAAAGUUUAAGGGACAUCGCAAAGCAUCAAGAAAUUUAUAAUAUUGUUUAAAUUUCGAAUUCGUGAUGUGUGGUAAAAAGCAAGUGACAAUCUCUGGUUUCCCCUUGAUUUAGGUUUCAUAAGCAUAGAUUGCGGAGCACCUAAUGAUUACCAUGAUGACCAGCUCAACAUAUACUACAAGGCUGAUGCAGGAUACGUAGAUUCCGGAACAAACGUGCAGGUGUCUACCCAGGUCAUCUGCCAAAACAACCAACAACAAUCAAAGAAUCUCCGGAUCUUCCCUAGUGGAGAAAGGAAUUGUUAUACAUUAAUGCCAGAUGAAGGAAAGGGCAGCACAUAUUUGGUCAGGGCUUCAUUUUGGUAUGGUAAUUAUGAUGGCAAAGAUCAAACCCCAGCAUUUGACCUCCAUAUUGAUGUUAACUAUUGGAUCACGGUGAACUCUUCGUCUUGGAUAUACAAAGAGAUUAUUUACACUCCUCCGAGAGAUUACAUACAAAUUUGUUUGGUGAAUAUCGGCUUGGGAGUUCCAUUUAUAUCAGCUCUGGAGUUGCGGCUGCUGGAUAACUCAACUUACCAGAUCAAUUCCAGUGCACUUGUAACCAACUGGAAAUAUAAUUUGGGGAGCCUAAGCACAUACAUGUGAUUUUCUUUGUCAUUGCCCUUCAAUUUUGGUCAUUGACCACAUUCGUCGGUCAGUAAAUGACAAGUUCAUGUAUUUACAUGUUACGAAUCAUGCAUUUUUACAUUGUGCAACUGCAUGGACUAUAGAAAACAUGCUGUCAAUUACAAAUUGAUUUUUGUCGACUUGUUCAUCAUCUUGCACUUACGGCUAUGAUUAUUUGACUGGCUUCGGCAUUAAUAGGCAUCCGCAAGAUGUAUAUGAUCGCAUCUGGAACAAUAAGACUUAUAGUGGAGGUUGGUCGUCCGUUAGCAACGCGACGGCCAUCGAGACAAGUACAAGCAAUGAUGCCUAUAAAGUUCCGCCUGAAGUUUGAUGACCGCCACACAAGUACAAAAUGUCACUGAUCCUCUAAGUCUGUUUUGGACCUCGGAGAACUCCACCACUGUCUGGUAUAUAUACUUCCACUUUGUGGAAUUGCAAUUGGAAAAGGGUCAAUUCAGAGAAUUCGCCAUAUAUGUACAAGACAAAUUCGUGGAAACGGUCAUGCUCGAGAACCUAAAGCCAGUGACCGUAGCCUCAUUGCCCAUAAGUGGACAUAAUUUGAACUUGACUAUUAGUGCGACGGCCCGCUCUAGUCUGCCACCGCUCCUCAAUGCCGUCGAGUUUUUCACUGUGGCACAGCUCCCAAAUUCACCGACUUUUCUUGACGACUGUAUAUUUAUAUC